GCAGCACGCGCGGCGGCGGCGCGACACGGCCUGCCACGCCAGGUACGCCACGGCGUGUGCCAGCAGGAGGACGGUAAGCAGGGCCAGCAUCUCCAUGGGCGGGGCCGGUGGUGGUGGUGGUGGGUCGGUCACAAUAAGUGAGUGACACACACAGAGCAGGAGUAGUGUGGCAACAAGGUGGCUGGAUCAGCUAGCUUGGCAGGCAGCAGGUGUAGUGUGUGGCGUGUUAUAUAGAAGCUGGGGCUGGGACUGGGACUGCCAGUACGUACGCGCCGUGGGUCGUAAGCUGUUGGGUAUCUAUAUACACUACACACACGCAUGCAUGUACGCAUCAGCAACACAUGGCUGCCUUCUUCCCUGGCCGGGGUAUUUAGGGGCUGUUUGGUUGCUAGCCACAAUUUGCCACGCUUUACCUUAGGUAAAUUUGACCAAGUUGGCAAGUGUUUGGUUGACAACAAAGCUUAGGCAUGAUUCUUUUAGGCUCCACAUGUCAUAGAGUUAAAAAUUAUGGCAAGACAUGGCAAAGUGUGGCAACCAAUUUGCUAGCCACACUUUUGUAUCUUGCCACACUUUUUGUGUAAAGUUAGUUGUGGUAGAUUGUGGCUACCAACCAAACAUCCCGAUUGGGAGGAGGUUAAUACGGUGGCCGUAGCCUCCAACGGCCAACUACUGGCUUGCUUUGCUUAUCUCAGUCGUUAGGCAGCGCGACCGUGAGUGGCUUCUCUCAGAGCUGCGCCUGUGCCUAACUGUACGUCGCUUCAGAAAGCAGCAGCAUGCUCACCAAGGCACCACCACUUUUUGAUAAAUGAAUUAUUUAAAUAAUACAUUCGAAACAAAAAGAAAAUUAUGGUAUUUCGAAUGUGUGAGAAGAGCUGCUGGUCGAGAUGUGCCAUUUUGUCUGCAUACAAUAAGAGUGAUUUGCCGGGGUAAGUCGAGAAGCUUUCGGAUGAGUUUAAUUUGUUUUGAGCUAGGGGGAUCCGAAUUCUCCUACGUUCCGAUUUAACUAGCUCACUGAAUUCUCAAAACUAAAACUAGAAUUUUUUUUAGGAUCUAUGUUCCGAUUGUUCUUACUCUCUCAAGUCUUGAGGUUUUCUCUCUCAUUAUCAGGUUUUUUUUGUAGCCCCAUCGUUCAUCCUUGCUAUUUGGUUGCAAUUCUGCUAAUGUUUUUUAGGGCAAUAUCACGCUAGGACAUGUUUGGACAUCUUUAGGGUGAGAUCCUUGUCGAGCACCUUCUGUUUGAGUUUGUUUUUUUUUCUAAAAAAUCUUUUUUUUGGAUGAAUUUUUUCUAAAAAUCUUCUUAGUGUUUUUGGUCAAAAUUGAGAAAUUUAUGGUGAGACCUUCAUCUUUUUUUUGGCAUGGUCUUCUGGUCAAAGAUUUACCUUGUUUUGGAGAACCUACAACUAAGGAAUUUUUGGAUUUAUAGUUUAGCCUAGGAGGAUGUGACCUACAACAGGGGAGAGAGGGUGUAGAGGGUCACCAAUUUUAACCUAGGGCUCAAACUUGAUUCUCCACUAUAUAAAUAUCUAGCAAUGUAUGCACCUAUAGAGGGUUAUCUAGUGUUUCUACUAACCCAUCCACAUAGAGUUUUGCAAUCCACUAUCAAUCCUAUUAUCUAGCCCUCUAAGAAACUUAGAAGCCACACAAAUAACUUCGAAUCAGUUGUUUCGGUUGCAGCUGCACCUAGUGCUAUAUGUGUGUGUAGCAGCUGUAGAAACAGAUGCCACUCUAGAGAUCAAGCAAAGAAAAGGGAAGAACUCCCGAGCCAAGAUGAAAAUAUUUAUCCCAACGGUAUCGGUAUUCGGUAAUGUAGUCACCCCAGUCCAUGUUGGUAUUCAUGAUCCACUCCAGUAAGCUUUUUUCCACACCUAUAGAACCCGUUCUAGUCCUACAUUUUUUUCUAUAUAGACCGAGGAGAAAGGGGGGCUUUUCAUCUGGCCUUGUUUGUUUGGCUGAUAAGUCAUGACAGAAAAUACAAUUGGCUAAUUUUUUUUGUGAGAGAAAAACAUUGUUUAAUGGCUGACAGAUUCGGUUGAUUUUUUUCCCCUUCAGAUUUGCAAAGCUCUAGCUUAAAGAAAAUUCAUUUAUACGAUUACCAUAAUUGUUCCACCUGAAAGUGGUUUGUUAACUGCACCUAGGUAUAGAAAUUAGAAAAUAUGAUCUACCCCAUAUAUACUUUGGCCUGAUGGAAGGGGACGGGCUAGCGUGGUAGCCGUGCCAUGCCCCAUGCAUGCAUGCAUCACGGUGGCCAUGAAUACAACGCGGGGUGGUGCGGCCGAGCUGCACGCACACACGCUCUCCGUGAUCGAAAGGAGUUGAACAUGAAGGGACCAAUGGAUCUCCUGGAUCAAGCCUGUCUCUCUCUACUGCUUUACACUGUUUUUUGUAUUGUACCCGCCUCUUUUGUGAUUCAUUUUUAGCUUUUACGGGGAUCACGAUCUAUCGGCCGAGCGGCCGACGGUCGAUCACGUACUGGAUCGGGGAUCCACCGUACUGAUCUUUUUGUAUUUAUACAACGCGCUAAAUCUAUAUCACUUUAAUGUUAGAGGUUAGUUUUAUUUUUGAGAGACCAAAGGGAGUGCAAUAUAUAAGCAAUUGAGAGGAUAUGUAAAAAUAACAAUUUUGAUUAGUCGAGUAGAAGUUAAUUUUAGACCCCGUUUGGCACGACUUCAUUUCAAAAGUGAGCUGUUUUUUUGUUUUAGCUCUACGAACUGCUCUUCCAGUGGAACUAAAGCUAUUUUAGCAUCACGUUUGACAAAACACAGCUCCUUAUAAUAGGCAAAAAGAAUGAAAAAUGCAUACGGAAUGAGCGAGCAACGGAGUUCUCCGCACAGAAGGGUGGAUGUCACCGUAGGAGUGAACUCUGCACUAGAAGAUGAGGCGAUCAUAGGCCUCGUUUAGUUCAUUCCGAAAUCCAAAAAGUUUUCAAGAUUUCCUGUCACAUCGAAUCUUGCGGCACAUGCAUGAAGCAUUAAAUAUAGACAAAAAUAAAAACUAAUCACACAGUUUGACUAUAAAUCAUGAGAUAAAUCUUUUGAGCCUAGUUAGUUCAUAAUUAGAUAACAUUUGUUAAAUAAAAACAAAAAUGCUACAGUGUCGAGAUCCAAUAUUUUUUCGGAACUAAACAAGGCCAUAGCUUUUCAACAAACUCACCACAUAGUUGUCUGCACGAGAUCCAAUACAAGAUCAACAGCACUAUCUUUCUCCCUUUUCUCCGCGCAACCUGAUCCCGGCGACUCCCUAUCCGCUUUGCCAAAUUGGCUCCUCCUAGCCAAAUAGAGCCAUAUAUAAUGGUUAUGUCUUGAAAAUGAGGGACAAAAAUAUUUCAUCCUACUACUUUUUCUCGGAACUAAACACGAAGUGUAUGCAUAACAAAACUUUUGUUAAGGACAGCUGAGAACGUGGUCUCAACCACAUACAGCACUACACCGACUGUGCGGUACUGCAGAACAUCUCCAAGAGUUUGACAAUUUUCACUUGGCAAAUCUUGUGUUUUACUAAGUUGCCAAAAAUUUGCCAAGUUAAAAUAAAGCCUCUCUCCAACAGUUUCCUAGUUUUGACUUGGCAAAACUAAAAAGAGAAGGCCCACCAAACUUUGUUUGUUGACCGGUAUCUGGAGAGGCCGAGCGAUCCAACUUCCUAUCAUAGCAUGAACGCCGCUGUCGCCCUGGAGGUCGUGACUGUUCCACUUCUCUGCCACGGGACGAGUGAUCUCCUCUCCCUACUCCACCAGCCAAGCCAAAUCCAAUAGAAGCCGGACAAAUCCAACAGAAGCCGCCAACUCCUCCUCCCUGUGCCGUCAUCUGGGCAUGGAGAUUGAUCUAGGCAGGUUGUUCAUCUGGGUAUGGAGGUUGAUGGGAGAUAGAGGAAUGACGUACCUCAAACUCGAGCCGGGGUCUGCACGAGAGGGAGGCCGGUCAGCAACGUGGCAAGGUCCUGUCUUUGGCGGCGUGGCUGCUGAUCGCCGGGAUGGGAGGUGGCGCGGUGAAGAUCUAUCGCAAGGAGUGGGGGCACGCGAAUAUAUCGCGACAAAGACGGCCUUGGCACGGGAAGGAGGGGGGAAAUUCCUGCCGCGCGCGGGAAGGAAAGGCAACGCCGAUGUGGAGUAGAGUUAGCGAGUUUGAGCUUCAACUUUUAAUUUCGUGGGAUGUGACUAAUGUGUAUGAGUGUAUCAUAACAUGCCAAAGUUUUAACAGGUUUUGAUCUUUAAUUCUUUUAUGAAUUAUUUUUGUAAAGUUGUAAAUACUAGUGGGGGAGCCUUUAUAAUACGACGUACGUCCAGUCGUCCACAGCUGGAAUUCCGGCAUUUCGUCUUCGAUACAUAGGAUAGGAUCGGACGUGGAAAUCUGGUGCAGAUCAGUCCGCGACUACGUACGUCGAAAUCCGGACUUUCCGAGUGGUCAGGGAUGAAAAUGGUUUGAUAAGAAUGGUUCAAAUUACGAAUAUUAACUAUAUUAUAUAACAUAUAAUUGAAUAUUGAUAUUAUAAAUAUAUAAUUUAAGUAUUUACCUAUUUGGAUAUGAAUACGUUAUUAGAUGUUGAAUAUUCAGACUUGAAUAUGAACCAUUUAAAUAAAUUUAGUGUUAGAAAAUAUUCGUACUAUUUUUAUUAUUUGAUAUAUAGAGAGAAACUGACCAACAGCAGGUGCGACGUAAUUGAUAUAACUGUCCUGUGUCCUUGUCGAAAUUGACGGUACAAUCAUUAAUCUCUAGCUAUCUUAUCGCAGAGACCUGUUCGUCCCGGUACGUUCUCCUAGCUAUAGGGCCAUCAAGAGUACUCCAUGCAAAUGCAUGCAUCAUCAUCAAUAAGAGCAACCACAAUAUAUAUAGACUAAGUAGUCUAUAUGAGCAGCUUUGUGUCAGUAGACAAUAGCUAUUGCUGUCUCCACAAUGUGUCAGCCAACAACUAGUCCAUAAGGUGGGUCCCAUAUAAGAUAAAUAAUUAUUUCUCUUUACAAUCCUGUGCAAAGCCGAGAGAGAGGGAGGAGUGAGAAAAAAUAACAUUUUUUUAAUCUUUAUGGGUAGUCCAUAAGCUUAUGGGUACCUUUUGCUAUGGACUCCUCUAUGGACUAGUCUCACAAUGUUUCAGUUACCUGAUAGCAAAUAUUUUAAUUCUAUGAACUACCUUAUGGCACACAUUGUGGUUGCUCUUAGGAAAGUUAUAUUUGACUUUUUUUUUUACAAAAUAUUUGACCGAUUCACCGAUGCAUCAACCAUAUGCAUGGAGAGAGUUGCUAGCUGGGCCAUGGAGAGUAGUAGUAGUAUACUAGCUAGCUAGAUGGCCAUUCAACGAAUUAAUACGAACUGUGUGCGCCAACUGUUUAACGAUACCGGGCCUCUUUUAGUUCUGAAAAAUUUUGGAAAAUUGACACGGUUGCACUUUCGUUUGUAUUUGACAAAUAUUGUUCAAUCAUAGACUAACUAGGCUCAAAAGAUUCGUCUCGUCAAUUUCGACCAAACUGUACAAUUAGUUUUUAUUUCCGUCUAUAUUUAAUACUUCAUAUAUGCGUUUAAAAAUUUGAUGUGACGGAAAAUGUGAAAAAAAUUGUAAAAUUUUUCUGGGAAGUAAACAAGGCCCUAAUUAUAAUCACGAGUCUCUGUGUGCAUGCAUACGGAUACUGCUGGCUAAUAAUAACCCAUAUUUUAAAUAGCGAGCUAACGUCAAGGUGUUUAGUGUUUUAUAAAUCAUAAUUAGCGUACUUUAGCGGUAAAAUUGUGCAUGAACGUAAAUAGCGGCACAAUUUUUUUCAAGCUAUUUCGGACUAUAGCGACAAAAAUAGCGGGCUAUUUUUUUCUAUGAUAAUAACCGAUCGAUCGACAAAAAGAUUUGUUAUGAACUCGAUCGAUCAGACAUCAGACUAAUAGAGUAGUCCCGAUCGACAACGGAUGGUGGAUCGACAAGGAGGAGGCAAUGCAAGUCGCAAGCUAAGUUUGGCCGCUCAUUUCGUGUACCGGAAAGCGCUAAGCUGCUUUAUCACCUCACGAGGAAAUUUGAUGUGCACUUGCAUUUCAUCAUCGUCAUUAUAUUCAUCAGAUCCCCAGAUCGAUCUCCAUCCUCAUCCUCUCCUGCCAAUAAUGCAUGCAACAACGUACAGAUCACUGUUUGUUUGGCAACGAGGAGAGGAGAGGGAGAUGAACAUGUGACUGUUGACUGGUGAGGGCGGAGGUGUGACCAUGCGUAGCUGACCUGGCGGGGAGGCCGGUAGGUAUGAACUGACCUAAGCUUACCUGUCGCCUGUCGGCAUGCGCAUACUGGCAGCCGGCCGGUGCCGAUGGAGGCCAACCGGAACUUUGCUUUCUUCGCUGCAUAAAUGCCCGCUGUGCCAGGUGGCCAACAGUCGCCCUAUUCAUCGCUAGUAUUUGAUUUGACUAAAUUUGUAAAAAUUUUAGGAUAAAUUAAAUCUUCAUUAAACACUAAAUAUAGAUAAAAAAAAUAACUAAUUGUAUAGUUUGACUGUCAUUUACAAGAUGAACUUUUUAAACUCUAAUUAGCCUAUAAUUAGAUAAUACUAGCAAAAAUGCCCGUGCGUUGCAACGGGAGAAAAGAAAACUAUCAAAUCUAUAUCUAUAUCUCUAUUACCUAAUUGUAUAUAUAUCUAUACCUACCUAAUAAUAAAGAGGCAAAAUUUUAGGCUCUUUUUUUCGUCCAUCUUUUUUUUUGUCUAUUUUCCUCUAACUACCGAACGAUAGAGAGUUUCUUUUAUUUCAACUAAUAUAUAACUCGUGCUUAUACGAGUUAAAAUAACUUGAGUCUAAACUAAUAUAUGGAAUAAGAGUCUUAAUAUAGGUCAGACCCACAUCUACUUCAUGAGCGUACCUCAAGUCUGAACAUUUCUAUUUUAUUGAUUCUACAGUCAAUAAACACAUCCAAACAUAAGCCUAAACUAAUAGGGCUUUCGGAUUUUUCAGCAUACCUUUGACAUACAAGGGCAUUUCAGCAGGGAAAGCUUCCCAUUGGCCCGGUAAUUCUUCUUAUGUGCUUCAUUCUCAUUCAUCAGCUUCACCAUCUUAAGAAAGGCGCUCUUCAGCACCUUUGGGUCCACCCCCGUCUCCUCCACCUUCACCUGCUUCGCAGCACGCAUCUCAGACUUCUGUUGCUGCUUGCUUCUGGAGGACUCCCUGGGCACACCACUAUUAACCUGAUUCUCCCACUUCCGCUUCGGGACAGGCACUGGAAGCAGCCCGGUAGUGGACAGGAGUGCGGGCAUGGGUGGCGGACCACCGCUCGAGGGGUGGGCGCGGCAGGGGCAGCUGGGACGGGGGCGGCGCCAAGAGGUGCGCGGGUAUCGGCAGCGGCGGCGGCUGGUGUUGCUGCGGGCUCGUGUGGGAGAGCGAAGUAGGUGCACAUGGUACCGCCGGGUAAAAAAAAGACAACACUACACCGAGACGGAGACGGAGACGGUCGGUAAAAAAAGUUGGCGUGGGUGACGGACAGAAACGGAUUGGCAGACUGAAAUUUUCAUGAUUAAGUAUUAGAGAAAGAUUAGGAUUUCUAUAAAAUAUGAUAUAUCAGUUAAAUGUAUGUAGAUUAUAAACACAUGAACUUAUAAAGUGUUCACAUAACAUAACAACACAUAAUGCAAAGGUAGUGUAAGCAUCCUCAAGCAUAAAUUUAGUUAAAUUAGUAAAUCAGUGAGAUAUACAGGAAUUAUGCUAAAACUUUUACCAUAAAUCAAGCAUCACAUUAAAUAGGCUAUUAUAAAAUUUUCAUAAUAAUUGGAGCAAGAUAACUACAAUUUUAGUUUUACACUAAAAAGCAUAGGCAAGCAUCUACCAACAGAAAAAUAUACUAAAAUUUAUGAUUUUUUUGUUUACUAUAUGGAUCUAAAUAUGUGGAGCUGAACAAAAUUUAUUUUGUAAUUUUUAGAUUUUUCUAUGAAUUACUAUAUAUAUUUAUUAAUGUUAUAAAAGAUUUUGCAUUAGGAACCCUAAAAAAAUUUCUAUUCUUUUUUUUCUUCUAGUCUAUGUAGGGGCCGAUGAUGCUGACAAAUUUGCACUUAAGCCCCUGUACUUUUUUUAAUUUUAAUAUGUUCUAAUGUGUAUAGAAGAUUUUGCAUUGGGAACUCUAGUUCUUUUUUUCCUCCUCCUCUACUGAUUCCAGAACGGAAACGGACAUACGGAGUAGCGGUUGGCAGAAAAAUGUGGGGCAGACUGAAAUUUUCUCCUUUUAUAAAUAGGUAUAGAUUUACCAAAUAAAAAUAAAAAUACUACAAUAUUUAUUUUGUAAAAAAAAUAAAACUAAACAAGGCCAUUUUGUGAUUUUGUCAAUGGUCUAUCCAUCGAGACAUCGAAGGGACCAUGCAUUACAUUAAUUCAUUCACUGCACACCAAGUCACGGUUGGAUAGAUAUCCAUCAAUCCAUGGCGGCGCCUUUUGUAUCCGAUCCAUCGUAAAGGGUAGCGCGAAGGUUGAGAGGUGUGCCCUUGUCAUCGUAUAUCACCGAGUGAUUGUCAUGGACGAUUAGUCCUUGCGUGCAGUUGAUUUGUUCUUGUUUAUGACUAACCGGAUGCAAAGUAGUGUCGAUGCAACAUGUAUCUCUUGACUUGUGCAAGUGUUGAACAUGCAUGUCAUAGUGGUCAGUGGCGAUGGCGACGAUUGAGCGAGAAGUUUAGGUCGAUAGACCAUGGAUGGACAUGAAAGCUUGAAACCAAGAGAUGGAAGCCUAGAGAAAGGAUUAUAGACGACAAGCAUUUGGCAUGAUAACAAGCAGGCCCGUCUCAUAGGGGUGCAGGGAGUGCGACGGCCGAGGGUCCAUGGCGCUGAGGGUCCAUAAGUAUACCCCCUCUAUACUACAUGUAUUGAGGCUCAUACGAUUCAUUUACUGCACUCGCUUCGUAUCCUUGGUCGCGACCCUUUCUAUUCGAGAUAGUGAUUUUCGCCACAAGCAGGAUUUGAACCCACGAUCUUAAGCUCACAUAGCUCCCUCCUUCACCACUGCACUACACCACCAGCUAUGAUUAUAUUACAUUUUGGUUCUUCAUAUAUCAUACUAAAUCACAUGUAAAUUGAUUAUUUAAGGCUCCAAACGAUUUCAAACCAAAAAGUUAUCAACUACAAAGUUUCAUAACUUUUUUAGAACUAUAAUUUUUAUUUAGAAAAUUUCUCCAUCCGAGGUCGUUUACAAAAUUUGAAUUUCAAAUUUAGAAAAUUUAAACGUAGUUUUUGCAUGACAACAUGAUUUCAAAUCAAAAAGUUAUCAACUACAAAGUUUCAUAACUUUUUGAGACCUAUAAAGUUUAUUUAGUCAGUUUUUUCAUCCGAGGUAAUUUUAGAAAAUUAUAAUUAAAAAUUUUCAAAUAAAGACGUAGUUUUAAAUGAUAAGAUAAACUCAAAUGAAAAAAUUGUCAACUAUAAAAUUUCAUAACUUGUCAAAAUCUAUAAAGUUUAUUUUGGUUGUUUGAUCAUUUGCUCAUCUGACACGGUAAUUCUAAUAUUUUUCAUAAAUCUUAUAUAUCUCUCUUGUAGUUCUAGGAACUAUAAGAGAGAGAUAUAAAAUUUGAGAACAAAUUUAUUUUCACUUUGCCAAAUGAAGAAAUGGCCAAAAUAAAGAUUAUAGAUCUUGAGAAGUUAUAUAAAUUUUUAGUUCAAAACUUUUUGAUUUGAAUUUGUUUACAGCUUCAAAUUUUGAUUUGAAAUUUUCUUUGCCGAGUGUUUUUUUUUUUUGCCGAGCGUUUUUUCUUUAGCACUCAGCAAAGAAGCUCUUUACCGAGUGUCCGAAAAAACCCUCGGCAUACCACUAAACACUCAGCAAAGAAUUCCGGUAGUGAGUGCAUGAAGAGUGUCAAGGCCUUCUUUGCUUCUCUAAUGACUUUAACCCUCACUUGAGCUCCAAGUAUUUUUGAGUUUCCUCCAAGUUCCUCAUUUUCUUAGGUUUUCCUAAAAUCCGUGAGAUUGAUGAAGGAAGCUCAAUACUUUUAACAACAUCUCUUAGAAGCAACUUCUUCAGAGGUUAGAGAAGGUGUGUGCAAAAUUUCAUGAUUUUUGAAGCUUGUUUGAUCGAGUUUUGUAUUGUUUUCCUUCUUGUUUUGAAGGCUGUCUUCUAGGCAGUUUGGAACUUUGUAUUUGUUCUUAUCUUGCGGAGCAGCGCUCAAGAGCCUUCUUCAUCAUAAUCACUCAUGCUUAGCUAAGGAUCUAUUUGCUCGACUCCUGAAAAAUCAAAUUACUUUUUACAGUUUUAUUUCUUCUAUUGUUCACAAAAAACGGUCUUUUUUCUAAAUUAGAUUUUGGUGGGAAUUAGAUUAAAAAAUCAAUUUUUCAUUUACAUAGGGAGUUGUGAGUUAAAAAAAAAUUCUCCUUACUCCUGCAUCUUCAGUUCCCACCGUAAUCACUUUAGACUUGUUCUCCGCAAGAAUUAUUACUCAUCAAAGAAUUGAGGAGCUACAACAAAAAGAUAGAACAGUGGAGAGCUCUAUUAAACUUCUUUGUAUUCGUUGGAGUCUAGGAAAAUCCAGUUUAUCCGUCAAAAUGUCAACUCCGUCUCGCCUGUGCCAUCUAUCGUGAAUUUACUCAUUUCAUUUUCCUUGAUUUCCAUUGAGGUCGUUGGACCAAGCAAUGCAAGUUAUCGCUUGAUUAAUUGCUUGGACACUACUUUGACUUCCUUUCUACGUGAGCGAGCGUGUGACGCGCUCCAUGAUAAAUGCAACUAACAACAAUGACGCAGCAGCAUGCAUGUGAUCGCUCUCAAAAUUAGUUUUGUUUGUCUGUCCAUCCACACAAGAUCGAAUAAUGAAAUGGGUUAAACUAGCUAAGAGCAAGUAUUAUAGUGGGUUAUAAGCUGACUAAAUACUGAGUGGAGGAGAGAAAGAAAGAGAGGGAAGAGAAGCAGGUUGUAAGCUUAGAGCCAGCUUAGAGCAAGUUGAAUAAUAUAUACAGCCUACUUGCUGACCGUAAGGUUCUUUACAGCCUUCUCCCAACCCACCUAUAUAAUAGUUAGCUAUUCACUAUUAAUACAUGGCUCAUUUAUCUCUCACAAAAUUUUUUGGUUCUUGUGCCAUAGGCCUUGUUUAGUUCGCAAUUUUUUUGUUUUUGCGUACUGUAGCAUUUCGUUUUUAUUUGACAAAUAUUGUCCAGUCACGGAGUAACUAGACUCAAAAGAUUUAUCUCACAAAUUACAUAUAAACUGUGCAGUUAGUUUUAUUUUCGUCUAUAUUUAAUGUUUCAUGCAUGCGACCAAAGAUUCGAUGUGGCGGGUAAUCUUGAAAAUUUUUGCGAACUAAACGAGGCGUUGGAUGUAAGCUUACAUCCUGCUUCUUCUCUCUCCUCUCUUCUCUGCUCUACCUCAGCAUUUAGCCAGCUUACAGCCCACUAUAAUAUUUGCUCUUAGGUACAGGAACCAAGAAGCUUUGUGAGAAAGAUAAGUGGGCCAUGUAUUAAUUGUGAAUAGCUAACUCUGGUCUUGUUUAGUUCGCAAAAAUUUUUGGUUCGGGUACUGUAGCACUUUCGUUUUUAUUUGAUAAACAUUGUUCAAUUAUAGAAUAACUAGACUUAAAAGAUUCAGUCGCGGUUUACAGGCAAACUAUGUAAUUAGUUUUUAUUUUUAUCUAUAUUUAAUGCUCUAUACAUAUACCGCAAAAUUUGAUGUGACGAGAAAUUUUUAAAAAUUUUGGAGUUUUGGGUGAACUGAACAAGGCCUAUAUUGUAUGGGUAGGCUGGAAAAAGGCUGCAAGGAAUCAUAUAGCCAGCAAGUGAGCUGCAUUAUUAAACUUGCUCUAAGGCCAGUUUAAGUGGGGGUUUCACCAGGAUGUCAUGCACAUUUAUUAGAGUGCCAUGUCAGCAAAACUGUACUUUUUGCAUGAAACGAAGAGGAGAGAGAAGGAAGUAGUUUCACCAUGGUGAAACUCCGCUGGGCGUUGUUUCCCACGCGGUGAAACAGAAUGAAAUCCCCACUGAGGACUAAAUCAUUUCACCAUCUUGCAUGUGAUCCAAUCAUUUUGCAGUAAUUAAAUGCUUUGCCCAGUCUAGGAAACAUCAAGGUGAAACUCAUGCAUUGUGGAGGUUGUUUCAUUGUUCGUUUCAUUGAUGCUCUGUCAGCAGAUUUAUUUUGAAAACAGUGCAUUGAAAUGCACUAUUGAGACUGGCCUAAGCGAAAGUCUCUCUCUUAUAACUAAUUAGUUUUGCCUUAAUAACUUAUUAAUUGGGUCAAAAUAAUUGAAGUAGUACUCCGUAACUAGCAAGAGGUGAAGCUGGCCUUUUCGUGAAACAGUGAAUGACCAAAACGCGAGCAAUGGUUCAGAAACUCCAUGAAGAAGAUAUCUUUCUACUGUUGGCAUGGUGCACCGUGCACGCAUGUUCGUUCUCGGAAACUUCGACCAUUCGCGUUGUAGCAAGUCAGCCUUUACUUCUAAAAUUUUUUGCAAAAUAUAAAUAGUGACACUUUCGUUUGUGUUUGACAAAUAUUGUCCAAUUAUGGACUAACUAGGGUCAAAAGAUUCGUCUCGUCAAUUUCGACCAAACUGUGCAAUUCGUUUUUAUUUUCAUAUAUGGCCUUGUUUAGUUGCAAAAAAUUUUGCAAAAUGGGUAUUAAAGCAUUUUCGUUUGUAUUUGAUAAAUAUUGUCCAAUCAUAGACUAACUAGGCUUAAAAGAUUUGUCUCGUCAAUUCCGAUCAAACUGUGCAAUUAGUUUUUAUUUUCUUCUAUAUUUAAUACUUCAUGCAUGCGUCUAAAGAUUCGAUGUGACGGAGAAUCUGAAAAAUUUUGCAAAAUUUUUUGGAACUAAGACCUUGUUUAGUUCUAAAAUUUUUUGCAAAAUCGACACUGUAGCACUUUCAUUUGUAUUUGACAAAAAUUGUCCAAUCAUGGACUAACUAGGCUCAAAAGAUUUGUCUCGUCAAUUUCAACCAAACUGUGCAAUUAGUUUUUAUUUUUAUCUAUAUUUAAUACUUCAUGCAUGCGUCUAAAGAUUCGAUGUGACGGGAAAUCUGAAAAAUUUUGCAAAAUUUUUUAGAAACUAAACGAGGCCUAUAUUUAAUACUCGUAUCUAAAUAUUCGAUGUGACUGGAAAUCUGAAAAAUUUUAUAAAAUUUUUUAGAACUAAACAAGGCCCAAGACAGCUAGCAUUCAGUGCUAGGCUAGCUGUGGGCCGGGCUGGCUGGCUCAACCCACCUCACAGUUCGUAGACUAUUGCCCUAUCCUAUGAUCGAGACAAUAACUCCCACCAAAGCUACUCCUAUCAAGUGCAGACACAAUAGGCUUGCUCAGCGAUACCCACGUGCCGAAUUUUUUAGGUUUGCUGAAUAUAUAUCAAUAUUUAUGAUAAUACAGUGGCGGAGGGAAGGGGGCUGAGGGGGGCCUGGCACCCCCAAACCUUCCCAUAACUCCCUUAAUACACCACAUAGAUUAGAUGUUUAAUUAUCUAAUUAGCUAGUUAAUGAUAUUAUCUGUACUAAGAUUUUUAUUCUUAUUUUAUAUUAAUCUCUAAUAGUUUCUUAUACAAAUAGAAUCUAGAUCUUUCUAAUAUUUUCUUCAUAUCUUUUAUUUUUAUUAUUGUCUAUCAAACAUCAGUUUGUCUCCUACCACACACUCUAAUUAGCUAGUUAAUUGAAAAUCACCGUUUUCCUUGUUUAAUCCUUCUGAUUGAUCUCCAGCGAUGGGAUCUAUAUUAUUUAGCAUUAGUCUUGCUAUUAUCUUUCUUAUCUCCUGUGCUUCUAUCAAUAUUCGUCUAAACUCUAAACGGUCAUUUAGCCCGUUGUACUCAACUUUUAAACACUAACAGUGGUAUGGUGUUUCUGUUUAACCUUCUAUUUAAAUAACCGUUUUACCUGUUUAAGUGAUCGUUUUGUCUAAGACUAAAUGAUAUGUAACUGAUUGUUUGUCAUUUGAUGUUAGGAUCUAGUACUAAUUAAUUUUGCCCCCAUUUAACUACUUGUUUUUAUUGUGAUUCUUUUUCUGGACAAAGAAAUAGAAUGAUCAGGUGAAUGUUAGAGGCUUGAGACUAGUUAAAUUUUUCUUUUAUUUUUUUAGUUUUUCUGCUUUUUUUGCAUCGCAACACAAAUGUUUAUUUUGGUGCUAUGUACACCUUUGUCAUGUAAUAUUUUGACACACAUGAUUGUUCUUGGUUUGCACGACCCCCCUAUGUUCAAAUCUUGGCUCCGCCCCUUAUUAAUACUGGAUCACUGUUAUUAGUUUCUUUAUGCAAUGGACUUCCUACCUCCUAACUCUGUUCUAAAAAGAUUGUAAUUCUAGAUUUGAAGAUUUGAUGAUCUGAAUAGAUUUUACUAAAUUUAUAGGAAAACAGUAUCAAUAAUAAUUAAUAGUCAUAAUUUUUAAAUAAAUAGGUAAAGUACAACGAUACAUUUCAUAAUUUCAUAUUUAUUUGGUAUCAUAAAUCUCUGCAUUUUUAAUUUCAUAUUUAUUUUUAAUAGUAAGAAUUCAUGAUGAAAUCAAAUAUGAUUAAGCAGCCGGUACGUAGAGCAAUGCUGCGAUAGUGCGAUGCAAUUGAGGGAUGUUCUUCUUGGACGUUGUAGGAAGGUCUUGUUGAGUUCUAUUUUUUUUACAAAAUGGAUAUCGUAGCAUUUUUGUUUGUAUUUGACAAAUAUUGUCCAAUUAUAGACUAACUAUGCUCAAAAGAUACAUCUCACAGAUUUCAAAUAAAUUGUACAAUUAGUUAUUAAUUAUAUAUAUAUAUAAUGCUUCAUGUACUCGUCGUAAGAUUUGAUGUGACGAGUAAUCUAAAAUUUUUUAUAAUUUUUUUUAGGAACUAGCAAGAUCGAGACAGAAGUAUUAUUGACAAGCGUUGACGCAAAGGCGGUUUUUUUUGUUGUCUUUAAGGGCAUAUGUCCUCAUUCUUUAUCCAUUAGAUUCGUUUUGAAAAAUAUGUAAAUAUACAUCUCAAAGCAGUUUUGCAUUAAGAUACGUGUUUACAUACUUUUUAAAAUGAAUUCAAUAAAUAAAAAAGUGAAAACAUAUACUCUUGAAGGCAAAAUAAACCUUACCGCAUUGAACGAUAGCUGGGCAGUAGGCACAUCGACAAUGCUGCACGCUGGGAAAGGCAGCUAGCCAGCUAGAUUGAGGCCGGAGAAGGUUUUUUUUUUUUUUUAAGAACAGGAGGGGCAAGGAGCCCAUACCGAGAAUAUAUUAAAAAUAGUGAAACAAGUAGAAAGAAAGGAAUAGCAAAACAGAACAAAACAAUAAACAAGUAGAGGUCAAAUUCAAUUCAAAACAAGUAGAGGAAUGAAACACGGAAAACAGCUCUAGCUAAUUUCUUCCAUCGGGAUUGUUCAAACUAACACGGCGGGAUCGAUUUCUGCUUGUUUGAAAAAAUUAUGAUUAAAAAUAUUGUUCAGUUGAUUUAUUAUAAGAACACAAGCGAACGAGCUCGCGCUGCUUUGACUCAGCUGAUCAAUACACGCAUGCUCGACACGUACGCAGACACGCGCUGCUACCUACCGACGACGACGAUGACGUUUACAGUCCAGCAAGGCUUAGCUUUCAACUAAUUAGGAUAGAGCUCGAUGAUGGAUCGAACGCCGAGAACCGGUAUAAUCCUGUAGUCGUGAAACCCAGCCUCCGAGAAGAUCUUCUUCCACUCCAGCUCGUCUCGCUCGACGCCAUUGAUGCACAUGAUCAACAGGUCAAACAACACCUGCGUCUCCACGUGCCUCACGUCCGACUCCGGCGACGGCUCAUCGGCUGAUCCGACCACCAUGUCUAUGAUUAUUACCUUCCCUCCUGCAGCUCGUGGAGGUAUAGCCUGCUUGCACUUCUUCAGUAUCUUCACACACUCGUCGUCGCUCCAGUCGUGCAGAAUCCACUUGAGCAACACAGCGUCCGCCGGAGGAAUACUCUCAAACAUGUCACCGCCGACGUACUGGACCUUCUCGUUACUGCCAGCAGCAGCCUUGGCGACGACCUGCGGGAGGUCCAGCACCGUGCACUUGAGGUCCGGGAACGCUGCCGCGAUGUUGGCGGCGGCCCCGCCGAGGCCGCCGGCGACGUCGACGAGGGAGGUGAGGCCACGGAAGACCUCGUCGCCGCAUUCCCUGAGCACGAUCGGCAUGAGGAAGGCGGUGUCCGACGCCAUGGCGUCGUCGAACGGGAACGCGUCGGCGUCGCGCUCGGCUCGCUCCCAGAUCGUCUGGCCGCCGCACGCCAUGGCGAACGGGGACAGGCCGGCCGGCUGCUCCUGGUGUUGGUGCUGCUCGUCCUGCGGCCGGAACCACGCGCGCAUGCCCCUGCUGAACGCGGAUCCCCGACAAGUUUCGAGAAAGAGCUGUACCUGCACAGUCAGAGAAGGCGUCGGCAUCGUCGUCGUCGUCGAGCUCUUCUUCUCUCCAACGACGAGGAGGCGGGAGGCUGCCGUCAGCUUGUAGACCGGACCUUCUGCUUCUGCGCCGCCGUCCGCCGCCGCCGCCACCACCGCCGAGGCUGGUCGCUGGACGGUGAAGAUGCCCGAGACGGUGAGCGCCCGCAUGACGCGGCGCAGGUCGCGGAGCUUGUUGUUACGCGGGUCGAUCUUGAUCCCGGCCUCCGCGAUUAUCUGUGGAAGGGUGGCGGCGCCACCGAGGCGGUGGAUGGCGUCGGCGAUGCGGAGGUCCAUGGCGACCGCGAGCGCGAGGGACUUGAAGAAGCCGAGGGACUGGUGCCAGAGCAGGAGCUGACCCUGGAGCAGCUCCUGGCUGCUGUACUCGCCGAGGAAUGCCAUUGCUGCUGUGCUUGUGGUGCAGAUCGGUCGAUCUUGGGUUCGUCGUGCCAGUGGUGCAGAUCAGAACGACGAGAGAGAGACAGAGAUGUAUAUAUGGGCUGCGCCGCAGUCUGAAUCAAACUUGUUGUUGACCGUGUGAUGGCUCAAGGUCCUGCAUGUCUGCGCCCCGUUCGACUGAAAGUUCGCAGCGGCCGCUGAUGCUGUUCGGUGAGAAAAAAACACAGUUUUAUAAUUGAUGAAAAGAAAAUGCUGAUAAGUUCAAACGAGCAGCAUUGUUCAUUUGUUCUAGCUAUACGAGACAAAACCUGGAUGAGCGGUUGGCUCUGAGCUGUAAGGAAAAAAACGAUCUGCAGGGCUCUUGCAUUGCUGCUAGUCCCCAUGACGGCUUGUUUGCUAGUUUCAAAAGUCAUGGCUGAAAAUACUGUUUGCUGAUUUGUCGUUUAAAAAAAUAACACUAUUAACUGACAGAAAAGGUAUAGUUUAUAAGAUAAGUGAAUGGGCUCUCAGCUAAUAAAUAAAAUAAAAAUGAUAAAUACCAAAACAAUGUUCGAUUUCAAGAAAUUUGUAGCAGUAAUAAGCUCUUCGUAUAGGUGAGUUUUGGUCUGGAUCCGUCACUGGCAGGAGCGCUCUCUGCUAAGCAUGCAACAAGCAAAAAAGAGUUUAAACUAUAUGUUGGCACUUGGGAUGAUCCGCUUAUACUAUUACAGAUUCCAGCAUCAUCGUUCAAACGCACGAUUCAUCCAUCUAUAUAUCUCUGCAGACUGCGGCUAGCUAGACAGCUCAGAGAUCAUCUCUUCUCUGCAGUAGCGGACCUGCAUGUUGGGCUUCCAAUUUCCCCCUUGGGCCGUGUAGCCUAUAGCCCAAUACUGACAGAGUACUGGAUGCAGCGCUUGAAGGUCCAGGGCACCAUCUACUCGCACUAGCGGGCUAAAUAGCCGGCUAAGCCCAUUUACUGGCUAAGUAAAAGAUACGUCAAACAUCAGGAAGUUUUUUUUUUUUGCGAAGAAAAAACACCAGGAAAUUUUACACGUAUAUAAACGUAAUAAUAAUAGAUGAACCAGAUAUUACAAAUAUCAACUAUCAAGUGAUAGUCUCGAAAACGAAUAAAUCAUACACGAUAUACACAUAAGUUCAAAGUGGAUUGUCUUUGCUUAAUUGGUUCGACAACCUCUUGUUUCGGUUUCCCCCUGAUUAGCAGGGCAAAUGGGGUGCUAUUUAACGAAUUUAGCAGGCUAAAUCCGGCUAAUAGCAGCAAAAGUGUUUAGCGCUAAAAGUGGAUUAGCUUCCAGCAGGCUAAAUCCAGCUAAAACGGUGGCUAUGGCCGGCUGUUUGAAACAUUGUUUCUUAUUAGUUUAGCAUCAAGCUUUCAAGGAUAGAGCUCGAUGAUAGAUCGAACACCCAGGACUGGUAUAAUUUUAUAGUCUUCAAAUCCAGCCUCCAAGAAAAUCUUCUUCCACUCUUGCUCAUCUCGCUCUGCUCCAUCGAUAGUCAUGACCAAGAGGUCAAACAAAACUUGUGUUUCCACGUGCCUGUUAUCUGACGACUCAGAUCCAACCACCAUAUCUAUGAUUAUUACCUUUCCUCCUACAUCUCGUGGAGGUAUAGCUUGUUUACAGUUCUUUAGUAUCUUGACACAGUCAUCAUCAUUCCAGUCGUGCAGAAUCCACUGAUGAAACAAUGCAGGCAAUCAUUCAAUACAUAAGUCAAAACACAAGCAAUGAGGGUAUUUGGUUAUAUCCCGAGCUAAAUUCAGUUGUGUACCAUCCAUAGACGUUAGAGGCUGGAACUUAGUUCCUUUAUCUAGAAAAAUAUGCUGAGCUAAAUUUGCAUUGCUGAAAUAUUUGCUAUAAAAUAAUUGUAUGUCUUUAGAAGUCAAAUAUUAGACUUAUAGAAAAUAUGCAUCUCCUAAUGUGUUCCUUUGUUGUAAAAAUGUAUAUCAACUAAUCUAAUAAAUACUCACUCUAUUUCACAAAGAAUGCGAUUCUUUGGACAAUGAGCCUGGACAAGCACAUAUUGAAAGCUAGAAUGAGUUUUUUUUUUAUAGAGAGACUACGUACUGUAUUACGCAAUAUAAAUAUUAUUAUUUAUUAGGUUAUAUUAUUUGUAUAUAUGUUAAAUUUAAACAAGUUUGACUCUCGAGAUUUGUAAUUAUUUUUGGACUGGGCACGAAUGCAAUGGACGUACACGUACCUUGAGGAACACAGCGUCGGCCGGUGGAAUACUUUGAAACAUAUCACCAGCAACAUACUGCACACUGGUACCAGCAGCAGAGGGAGCCUUGGCGAUAACCUGUGGGAGAUCCAAGACGGUGCACUUGAGGUCCGGGAACGCCGCCGCGAUGGUGGAGGCGGCCCCGCCAAGGCCGCCGGCAACAUCGACGAGGGAGGUCAGACCACGGAAGACGUCGCCGCACUCCUUGAGGACGAUCGGCAUGAGGAAGGCGUUGUCCGAGGCCAUGGCGUCGUCGAACGGGAACACGUCGGCGUCGCGCUCGGCUCGCUCCCAGAUCGUCUGGCCAUCGCACGCCAAGGCGAACGGGGACAGACCGGCCGGCUGCUGGUGCUCGUCCUGCCGGAACCACGCGCGUAUGCCACUGCUGAACGCGGAUCCCCGGCAAGGGUCGAGAAAGAGCUGCACCUGCACGCUCAGAGAAGGAGGCAGCUGGCUCUUCGUCGUCGCCGCCGCCGCCGCCGUCGAGCUCUUCUCUCCGACGACGAGGAGGCUGGAGGCUGCCGUCAGCUUGUAGACAGGACCUUCUGUGCCGCCGCCACCCGACGCCGCCGCGGCCGUUGCUGUCGCUGGCUGCUGGACGGCGGUGAAGAUGCCCGAGACGGUGAGCACGCGCAUGACCCGGCGCAGGGCACGGAGCUUACAGGGGUUGAUCCCGGCCUCCGCGAUUAUCUGGGGAAGGGUGGCAGCGCCACCGAGGCGGUGGAUGGCGUCGGCGAUGCGGAGGUCCUUGGCGACCGCGAGCGCGACGGGCUUAAAGAAGCUGAGGGACUGGUGCCAGAGCAGGAGCUGACCCUGGAGCAGCUCCUGACUGCUGUACUCGCCGAGGAAUGCCAUUGCUGAUUGCUGUGUGCUUGUGCAGAUCGCGUGUUGCGAUUGCGAUGGGUAUGUCUUCUUCUUGUUUGUUGAUGAGGUUGAGGGGUUAGCUUGUGGGUGGAUACAUAUUUGACAUUUUCGUUUUUUAAUAUAUAUUUCGCUUGUUCCAACACACUCUUUUCUUUUCUCAGUAUACCUCUCUCUCUCUCUCUCUCUCUCUCUCUCUCUCUCUCUCUCUCUCUCUCUCUCUCUCUCUCUCUCUCUCUCUCUCUCUCUCUCUCCUUAUUUUCUGUGUGCACAUAUAUUUUCAAGCCUUCGUAUUCUCGUGUCCAAACUAAAACAUCAAAUAUUUUAGAAUUGAGCUUAUUUUCUGUGCACAUAUAUUUUCAAGCCUUCGUAUUCUCGUGUCCAAACUAAAACAUCAAAUAUUUUAGAAUUGAGGGGAUAUAUAAGAUGUUUUGGCUUUUCUAACAGAUACAUUAAUUUAACUAUAUACAUAAGUGCAUAUCGAGGUGAAUAGGACGCCAAAAUAUCUUAUAAUUUGCACAACGAAAAGAGUAGCACGGAAGGAAUAAUCAUACACGCAUUUGUUUGCAUUAAUCUAGUUGCAUUAUUAGCUAUAAACUAAUUAGAUGCGUGUAAUCGGAUCGUUUGUGGUCAGAGGCGUGCAUGUCCACGGUAUGAUCCGAGUCCUUAGCGUUUUAUAAGCAUGCAACUGUAGUAUGUUGACAAUGCUUGCACGAUUAUUAUUAUUAUUCAUCCGUCUAUUGCUGCAGCUAGCCUGUCUGCACAGAGAUCGACACUUCUCUAGCACUAGAGCUGUCUAGCAGAGGCGUUGACUCCGUUGAGGAGGGACCGAGCGCCCGAUGACGCAGCAGCACUGUAGAGCUGCAUGUUGGGCUUCCCGUUGCAGAACCCCCUUGCCUUGGGCUGCAGCCCGCAGUACUGGAUGCAGCGCCAUCUCCUCGCACUUGGGGUCGUCCCGUAGCCGUACCACCGUCUCUCCCGCUCCCGGGCCUGCAUGCACGCACGCACGGCAACGACAUGAGGUAGCUUCUGAUGAAUGCAAGAGACAAGAGAGACGACGGCGCUGCCCUCGGCGCCAUCGCCACCAUAUUCUUCUGAGUCUGGUGAACUCAACAGACCCUGACCCUGUUUUUAUAUUAUGGAGUGCUCUUUGAAAUAAGGGCUUGCUAAACAAAGCCUUGCAGCCAUUUCAUUCAAUCCGCGCAAAAUCUCCAAGAUUUCAUUUCUGAUCGAGCGAGUUUUUUUCGCUAGUACAUACUAUAUGUAUAUCUCACACAUAUAAGUUGGCGAAUAAAUAUAAGCACCAAGAAAACAAACAAUUAUUUAUCCAUUGAAACAAAGCAUGUCUGUAUUAUGAGAUGUUUUUGAAAGAAAGGAAGAAAAUUCUCUUCAUUGUGCAUUGCAAGACACCUGUAUGUCAUGUCAGCACAAUUAUCCUCUUUUCUGAAGAGGCACCAUCUUUCUUCAUUUAUGGCGAAUCAAAAUUUGCAAUUAGGAGGCACGCAUUACAACAGUCGGAUUACAUCAGUGCAUCAUUCAAGCAGAUCAAACACACUGCAGCAACUAGCGACAAGACGCGACUUCCAAACCAACCGCCAGAUGCCAAUCGCAGUGAGUUCCAAUUAAAAACAGGGAAUGUUAAAAGGUUACAUAUGAUACGGCGUAAACAAAAUUAAAACAGGCGGCCACCUUUUCAGCCAAUAUUCUAUUCUUCUUUCUUGUUUCUGAGCUACACAAACAGCCUAUCAGGAUAAAUACAACCCAUCAACAAACUCACUGCUCUUGGACAGCUGAACGGGGACAGGCAACCAGCUAAUUACUACUCUUCCUUAUUGGCCUGAGUCGCCCACGACAGCCAAGCUCACCCCCAUUUUAUGCCUCAGCCGGAGAAAUAUCACUUACCCGGGAAAAAAGCUACCUAGAUCCAUCAUUAUUCUUGUUAUUGUUAUUUCCACACCUUGACAGAGUUGUCAUGGCUCGCAGAAGCUACCAUCCCUGUGACUGGUGACUGCGCCAGCGCAGCGAUUAGACCUUCAUGAGCUUGUACUGUCAGGCUCUGGUUCUUCACCAUGUUCCAAACCUCGAGAGACUGCAUCAUCAACAUUUUAAUGAGAAACUCUCUCUCUCUCUCUCUCACACACACACACACACCCAAAAAAAAAUUUAUGGAUCCAGUCCCUUGAGAAGGUAAAGUGCUAUUGCUGACAGAACUUUUUUUUUUUCACCAAGGGCACACUAAUAAGCUCCUGAUUCCUGAAUAUCUCGUUUUUAACUCCUUUGCUAUUUAAUAAGUGUAUCGUGUUCUAAGUUUUCUACGGAAUUUAAUAGUUAUCAUUAACUAACUUCCUUUAGCGUCUCCCUCAUUUCCCAACUGCACUUUAUAUAGAGGAUCAAAUUAACUCUGUGCAGGAUGAUCCUUUCACCUACCACCUUAAUUUUUGUUCCACAUUCUAAAACACCACCCACAUUUGUGGUGAGGGAGUAGGAAUAAACUGCUUUCCAAUAUCAAGUAUAUUGAAUUAUGUAUAUUCUUGUCAAUAAGAUGAGGCAAAAAUGACCAAGACAUCUUAAGGAUAGACAAGUUUUGGUACCAAAAUACAGCGCCAUACACUUCCUCAUAAAGUUUGUUUGAUACAAAUAACUACAUUCAAUAGACAAGCCAUAGUUACCUGGUAGCCUCCAAUAACCAAGAGAUUGGAAUAGCUCGGGUGGAACACACAAGAAUGGAACUUGUUUCCAUUGGAGCUAAGCUCAUGAAUGCACUCCCCUGAAGAUAUUGACCAAACCUUAACUAGGUCCUGACUGACGGAUGCAAUAUAUUCCCCAUUGUUGUCCCAGCACACUGACUGCACAUCGGUGUUAUGGCCCUGAGAUUACAAAUCAAGUACUUCAGGUUCACAUCAUUAUAUUAAAAACACUACUAGUGUCCAGGAAAAAAAAGCUUCACUACUCCAACACGCAGAAGAAAAAAGUACUUGUUGCGCGGUUAUAACUUAUACCAACAGUAUGCUGAGGAAUUUGAGAUGUGCAUGUGCAGGGUCAAGUAAAGGAAAUGUAGCAAAGAGACUUUUCAAACAAAAAUAGAGGAUAUGCUGGUAUUCAAGGACAGACCUGUAGAGUGUAUUUUUUCCCAUGCGUCUCAAUAUCAAAUAUGGAAACCACGUUUUCAGCAGCUGCGGCUAAAAACUGGCCAACAUGAGGUUGGAAUCGAACUUGGGCACUACCACCCUGUACAAAGAAGGCAGAAUUGGACAAAGUACUGAGUUACUAAAUCCAUAGACUCUUUUUGCACAAACUCAUACAUGAAACUUUGAAGAGUAGAAGGAAUAUAAGCAACCUUUAUGGCACGCAAACAUGUAAGCUGGGUUGCAUUCCAGUACCGGAUUUCACCGCUGCCAUCACAAGAGCACAGAAGGUCUGUUUUCUUUGGAUGAAAAUCUAAUGAUGUGACCUGGCCACUGUGCCCAGUGAACGUAUGCAGAGAGAAUCCAGGCUGCAAAACAUGUGAGCAUAAGAAAUGCCGUAAUGCAAGUGCAUGGAAAAAAAGCUGAGGCUUAAGAUUCAAGGUUAGUAACACAGAUGGCACAGUUCACCCAAUACAUUGAUGUGUUUAACUAGGAUUUUCAUAGUAUAACACAAUUUGCAGAUCAAGACACAAAAAGGGGGAAAAUAUAAUAUUUACAUGUCAAUUCAAUCAUGUCAUAGUUGGGCCUUGCUACAAGUUGAGACAUGGUGACAAUAUGGACAAGUAUAACUAGAUUUGCAGCCAUGAAUAUGAAUACUAAAAAUAAACACUCAAUGUCUUAAUAGCACGCAGGAGUAGUGAAGUAUGCAAUAGGAUAAUGGUGACAUUACUAUAGGAGGUAUAAUAGCAUAUAUCUACGAUCCCUAUAAUGGACAAGCAAACAUAACUUACAUCGGCAGCAUUCCACAGUUUAAUAGUUCUAUCAAAAGAAGAUGUUGCCAGCUGACUAGAGUUAGGCCUGAAACGAACAUCAGUGAUAAUAAGGCCAUGCUCUUCUGGCGUAUACUGUGUCUGGAAAUUUUCCAUGUUCCAAAGUACAGUCUACAACAAAUGAACAAAAAUAUAGUAUGUCAGUCUGAGAAACAUCAGAGGCUCCAUAAAGAAGUGUCACUUGGAACAAAAACCAUAAUGUAAGACAGUUUCUUCGUACCUUCUUUUCAUGUCCUGCACUAGCCAAAAUCUUGCCAUCUGAAGAGAAGUGGCAGCAAACAAUUUUGCUGUUGCUUGUGCGCCAACAGUUCACUUCACUGAAAGUAAAACCUAGAAACAAAUGGACACGUCAUUUGAUAUUUGAAUUUUGUUAGGAAAAAACAUCAAAAAGUAUUACCUUUCGAAGUGGCUGGGUUAGGCUCUGCAGGACUUCUUUUGAGUGCUGCAAAAAUAUCCCUGGGAUCUCCAUCAUCAUUGGAUAAGAAGGAUUCAACAUUUUCAUCCAAAGAGCCCACAUCACCAAACUGCUCAAGGUCAUCCUGUCACAUACAACAAUUGUGUUACCCAUCUAUGUAGCAUAUAAUAAUCACUAUAUUCACUAUAUACUUUAAAUGAAGAGUAAAAGCUGUAACCAUUUGAUUUGAAGAGGAGGCAAGUCCAGUUCCAUCAGCACCAUAGAUCAUUAAGUUCUUUGGAACGUGGCGCAUAUUACCACCCAUUCCAAGUCCAUCCCCAGGCGUAUGUGUGGAUGGUGUAGAUGGUGGGGAGUUGGCAGGACCCACAGUGUUUCCUGUACCAGUACUAUUUGCUGGUCCUGAAGAAGUAGGCUGCUUUCUUUUUCUAUUGUUCUGGAAAUAACAAAUAAUUACAGAACAAGGAGGAGGUAUAAGGUCAAUGGCAAGCACAUCGGUUCUUAUUUCUUAAGAACAAAUUUGUAGUAACUCAUGCAGUGAAAUAAAGAAAAGGGUAAAUAGCCGACUAUUCAGCUUUAGUUGCCAGGGAUCAUAUACUAUGCACCAACCAAAGAAAACAAAUUCUUUCUUACACGUUUACAGUAUGCAAAUUUACAUAUAAUAAUUUCAAAUUUGGUCUUCAAUGUACGAAGAAGAUAAGUUAUGUCAACUUAUUUGGACAAACAGACCUCAAAUAUAUGCAAAAGCAGAAAAUAUUGCGAAUAACACGUGGCAUAUGAAGUCCUAACAGUAAGCUAACUUUAACUUUCAAAGCCAUGGAGUUUAUCGCAGAUCCAGAAACAAGGGGCAGGGCAAUCCAAACAACACCCCAGCUGAUCGCACCAACUUUUAUCAUAUUGUACUAUAUUAGAAUACGAUGAAUAUAUUCAUGAUAAUAUAAUCACGGAACUUUUUUAUCAUUAAUUCGCCGAGGGCUUUAACCCCAUUGUCAUGGAUUUAUAGUUUCAUCAGUGGCAGGAUUUGCGUAAUUGUAAUAAUUUAGCAUCCAAACUUCAUAUUCCAUUGAAUCUGAUGCCACCAGCACUGUUCUUUACACAUCACUGUGUGGCAUUCCCUUUUGGCAUCAUUUUUUCAAGAAAACUAUUGCUUCCUCCAUGAACGAUCUCAUGUCAUUUCAGCAUCUUAAUAAGAACCCUUCCUAAGAUGUGCAAGUUUUCUUCUAAGGCUUCCUCAGAUAAACAUAUCAGUCCCACUGUGCACUCUAUAAUUUAUAUUUAAUUACUUAAUUUGUUGAUAGAAGAGCAACAAUAGAUGCAUAACGGGAAAAUUUAAAGAUUCAGAUCAACAGGGGAAAGCCCAUAGUUCAAGAAUAGAACAGAAAACAAUAGGUUUGGCAUGCUUUCAGUACCUGCUGCAUUUGUUGUUGCUGGCUCUGUUGCUGCUGCUGGUUCUGAUGCUGCUGCUGCUGCUGUUGAAGCUGUUCCUGGGGUUGCUGUGAAGAUGUCUGCUGCAUCUGAAUAGUUUUCAGAUAUAGUAAGAUACCAACAAACUAGAGCCAGAGAAUGUACAAACUUAAGAGAACAACUCUAAACAAAGGAAGGGCACAUCUACAGCAAUCCAACCUUCAUGAGAUACUCUUGGUCUGGUCUGACUUUGGGUGAACUGGAUUGCAUUGGGGAACUAAUACACCCAUCAGUUCCUGCAGGUUGACCAUCUUUACCAUUCAACCCACCCCUGGUCAACGCUGUAAGUCUGCGGGGAUCAAUAUCCCCAUAAUUAGUUGAGUUGCCAAGGUUCCCUUGUGCUUGGGCCUGUGCUAAGUAUUGCUGCUGCUGCUGUGGGGACAUAAGUUGGAACUGUGACUGUGUUGAAAGAAAUGGCUUCUGCAUUUGAGCACCCAAAUUCGGCCUUAAUUGAUCAAUUCCCUGUAAGAUGGUAGCAUGGAUAUUCAUAGGUGGUCAGGUUCCAAAACAAAAUAUGAGCACAUAAGGGAACAUUUUUUUUCGUAGCUUACAGUUAAUGGCCAGCCUUUCAAUGGUAAACCGCUCACACCUUGGUUCAGUCCUGUUCAAAAUAUGAGGUAUUAAAAAGAAGGAAACAGAAAGAAUGUGAAAUGUAUGAUGUUCUUGAAAUGAAUCAGUCACAUCAUAAACACCCCGAUUAACCAAAAGAAGAACCACUGUAGCGAGUUACUCAUUACUUGCCAGUAUAUCCAACUGUUACAACAUUGCACUGGUAUGGCACAAUCUAUGCCAUCAAAAGUUAAUAGAACACAACAACAACAACAACAAAGACUUACUCUCAACAACCCAUGAAGUUGGGGCUAGGGAUGAAACCUAACAGAAGCCAUAAAAGAGGAUAAAACGCUAAAAAAAACAAUGUAUCAACAACAGCAAGGAUGGCAAGAGGAAUGUGGAUUGCUGAGUUCCAAACACUUGUCAGAAUCCUAUUACAGUGCAAGAAUGACAGGACAACAGUACUGUAGUUCAAUGAGAUGCAACCAACUUUUCAAUAUAAAUUUGCAAAAAAAAAAGGUCAAAAAGUUGUGUUGCUUGCAUCCAAACCAAUUAAACUUCAACCAUCAUAUAAAUCGUAUAUAUUGAGAUUGAACAUUUCAAAAUGAUGAGUGAGAUUAAUCUCCAACAGCAACUAGAUAAUAUUAAAGUUUUGUUGUACUUUCUAAUUAUAUUAGGAUAGAAACUAUCACUCAAAGCUACACUUGGGAGACCAUGACAAUGUUCAUAACCAAAUUGUUUCAUCAUUUGCAACUGGAGGGAGUAUGUAUCCUCAGGCAGCAGCAGUAAAGGACAGGUGUUCUAAAGAAGUGCCUUUAUAGUGAGUGCUAGUUUGGCAACAUAGGAGGAACUCACAAGAAACAAGGUAAAGGGCGCACCUGCACCACUCAAUCCAGGUUUAGGCUGAAUUAUUCCCUGUCCAUACAACGAUGAUGGAUCCAUGGGUAAAGAUCUCUGGGGUACUCCCAUGUUACCUUCACUCUUAAUAUCCUGUUAGAAGUUAGAACAUUCAGGUUAUCAUUUAAUGAACUAGUGUAAGAAAUUGCAGAGUGAAUAGACAUAUAGUGGAAGUGGAACCAAUAACCUACAAUCGUUUGCUGAUUCCGAGCCUGGAUUUGCUGCAGAGUUGUAGACACAUUUCCAGGAGUCCCUGGAACUAAUUGCCUGAUUCCACAAAAACAGUAAGUUCAGUCAGUACCGCAAAUGUUUCAGUUCCAACUAUCUUUCCUUUCCCUUUUAUAGAAGUGUGUAAGAGAAAAAUGGGGGUUGGUGGAGCACCCUGCAUGGUUUGUUGCUGACUUGAGAAGAGCCAUUCUACUAGCUUCAAUGAGUUGUGAUCCCUCUGACUCCAUUGAAUGUGGGUGCUUCAAGCGCUCUUCAUACAUCUUGGCAGCUAAGACACUAGCUGUUGAUGGCCCCAAAAUGCCAUCAGAGUUUAAAGCAUUUAUUGGACCAUUAAGUGAAGGAUGAUUCGCAUUAGUUCGCUGAAGUUGAGCAUGCCUUUGCUGCAUGAGUUGCAAUUGCUGCAUCUGCAUCUGCUGCUGGUGCUCUCUUGCUUUUAUUUGCUGUGCCUAUCUCCAACAGAACAGAGAUUCACACUAGGUUAGCUUAAGAAAAACAAGAAGUGCAUUGUAAAUUAAGAAAUCCCAAGUUACCUCUAGGUAUGCCGCUGCAACUUCAGAAUGCUUUUCAUUUGUCCUUGCGAUGAAUAUAUCCCAAAAGACAGACCACCACUCAAAGAGAAACCCUCCAGGAGCAUCAAUUGCUGCAUCACAAUUCACAAGUCAAACUCAUACUUAUGAUGGAUCCCCUGGGCAAACAAACUAAUGGACACUGGACAGAAAUAGUUACAAAAAUAUCACACGAAUGCAUGUGAUCUUGGAAUGGGUAGGCAUCUGUCACAUAUAUCAUCGUUUCAUACUCAGCACUUCACUCCUUACCAGGGUUUGAGAUCUUCACAAGAUAGCAUCUUUUAGAUGGCCUUGUUUAGUUCCAAAAAUCUUGGCAAAAUGGACACUGUAGCACUUUCGUUUGUAUUUGACAAAUUCUGUCCAAUCAUGGACUAACUAGGCUUAAAAGAUUCGUCUCGUAAAUUACAGGUAAACUGUGCAAUUAGUUAUUUCUUUUAUCUAUAUUUAAUGCUCCAUGCAUGUGCCGCAAGAUUCAAUGUGACAGGGAAUCUGGAAAAUUUUGCAAAUUUUUUUGGGAACUAAACAAAGCCGGAGAUGAAGGUUCUAAACUCCUAAUGUAACAGCAGUUGUACCAAUUACCCUUUUAUAAUAUCCUGUCUUUCGUAAGCAAGUGGCUAUGGUACAUUGGUACUUUUUUCUCGAACACGCAGGAGAGUUGUGUAUCAUUAUAUUAAGAAGAAAAUGGUACAUUGGUACUAUUUCGAUAACCAUUUCAUAAGAAUAUUUACAACAAUUUCGAAACUGGACCCUACACUAUUUGCUGAGAUUCUAGUCCUACCACGCAUCUGAACAAUAUGCCAAAUUAUAUUGGUACUACUUGUUUGCUCAAUGCAUGUGGGCCCCUGAACAUGAGGUCCGUACUUCAGAUGAUAACCACACUAAAUCGAUUAUUUCUUAUCAAAUCAUAAUCCAUUAAACAGAACGGUGCUUUCUACUGCAUACUUGCAUAGAAGUAAUUACGGGGAUCCAAUUUUGCUAAACAGCUGCAGUUUUGUUUAUCAGUGAUGAGUUUCGCAGUUGCACUACAAGUGUGUCACCCAGUUACAUAAAAAAUAUAAAAAAAAUUAAAAUCUAUGCUGCUAUAGAUAAAUUAGUAUGUCAAAGCCUAAUGUUAAUUUCUAAUUUUGGCAUGUAUGAUUGUGUUAUAAAGUAAAAUCCCUAUAUAUAGGGAUGAAAACGGGACAUAUUUCCUGAUAUCCAUCCAUCCACAACGGGUUCAAAUACUAAAUGGAUAAUCCGUAUAUGAAUCCAGCCUUUUAAUAUCUGUACCGUAUCUGAAUCUGAUACUCAAAGUAAGAUUUUUGUUAUGUGAGAUGGGUGUCAAUAUUCAACGCUAUCCGUAUCCAACUCCAAAUCCCAGAAAGAAACUACCUCUAUUUGUAUCCAUAUCCGUAAUAACCAUUCGUAUCUGGUCCAGUUUCAUCCCUAGUACGAAGACGCCCAGUAGCUUUCCCAAAACCAUAUCAAGAACAAGCAACGACAGUAGUAAUCCAGCUAGUUUCAACAUCAGGCAAAGCUUUGACACUUGAGAAAAGCAUAACAUGUUGAGAUAAUUCAAUUGAAUAGCAUUAGCAAAUAGCAGUAGCAUUUAGCUAAAUCGCCACUAAUAGCUUAGUAGUGAGUAGGGGCUAUACAGAUGCAUCAUGUUUGUUAUAUGAAUGCUACUCAUGCAGCUUCUGCUUGGCACACAUCUACAAUCCAUCAAUACGAUAACACCACCCACUUCACAAUUACUAACGUGAGCUAUUAUUUAAAUAAAUAUACUUUAAACAAGAAAGCUAGACAAAGAAUAGUAGCAUAUAUAAAGUGCACUAUUGCAUUUGGAGUUCUAAAUUUAUUACAUUCCCACUAAAGCACCUCUCGACAACACGACAAAAAUUUUGUAACAUCAUGGGUAGCAUCAAUUCCCGCUUCCACCAAAUUCAUGUGCAUUAGCAUGCAUAAACGCAAUCGCACACCGUCAAUCCUCUAAACAACGGCAGCUAACGACAACCAUUAUCUGCCUAUAUAGGGAAGCGAAAUCCCGCAGUUUCCCGCGAAAAGUUAUGAACCCAUCUCAACUGGCUCCUCUUCAACCCUCACACCCACCAUAUAACAUCAGAACUUCUCUGUCUAAAUUGUCACAAAGCUCUCCAAACCCCUUUGAAUUGACAUUACCUACACUCCCGUUUGGCUGAAAGCCAAACUGGAUAAGUUCAGAUUCCAAUCCUCUGCCCUACUUCACCUACACAUAAAAAAAAAACAAUGGAGUAUUCCAUACCGAAAAUUCGUAUCAGAGCUGAAAAAUACUGCCCACUCCAUCUAGUUCAAAAUUCGAAUUCACACCCGCAACCAAUAGCUAAACUCUCGUGCACUGUCACGAACAAAACCUAACCCAGCAACAAAUGCAAAAGGGCGAAGCAACAGAAGAGGAGGCAACAAUUACCGACUGGAUCAGCAGCAACCUUUCCCUCAGCCAUGAAAGCCUUGGCCGUCGUCUGCAGGUUCCUCUUCAGCAGAUAGUCAUAGAUAUACACGUCGAGCCUGCACCACAAGCAACGGAAUCAACCCAGAGCAAGCGAGGGGGCAAAAAAUUCACACGGGUACAACAAAUCAAAAUCGCUCACAUCUUAUCCGCUUCCCAGUUGCUCUGCGCCAUUCUGCGACCGGCGGCGAAGCGGAGACGGGACAAAGAGGCAAAACCAGCAGAAAUUAGCAGCGGGGCCAGGCGAUUCGAUACCAAACUCGAGGGAAAACAAGGGAUCAGAGCCCACAUUACCGGCUGGGCGUGAUCUCGCGGCCGAGGGAGGGGGGUCACAGACGGCCUCGAGAAAAUUUCCCGCGGCGAGCCGCCGUGCUGGCGGCGAGCGGCGACGGGGUUCCAAUGCCCGAUCGAGGGUGGCCGCGUCGGCGUUCGCGGCGAGCUCAGCGGCGGAAUUUGGUGGUGGGUGGAGCGCGCGCGCGCGCUACGGUGGUGUGAGCUCGCUUCCGCCCGCGCCGCUUCGGAAGAAGCGGAGAGGAGUUACUACUAGUAGUAGAUGAGAGAGAAAGUGAGGGAGGGAGGAGAGAGAGAGAGAGAAAGGAAUAGGCAUAGACAGAGCGAAGGAGAAGAGGCAUGGGUGGGGUGCGGGUGUGAGCGAGGCUGGCUCGGUAGGGUGAGCCAGGACUCCGGUUCAGGAAGGUUCGGAUGACAGGCAGGCGCCAGACAAUUUUGCAGGAGGAUCCUCGGUUAAACUAUUAAUUGCUUUGCAGAUGGGAUUAGGGCCUGUUUAGAUUGGGAACGAAAAUUUUUUGGGUGUCACAUCGGAUGUGUCGGAAGGAUGUCGGGAUGGGUUUUUAGAAACUAAUAAAAAAACAAAUUAAAUAGAUCGUCAGGAAACUGCAAGACAAAUUUAUUAAGCAUAAUUAAUCUGUCAUUAGCAUAUGUGGGUUACUGUAGCACUUAAGGCUAAUCAUGGAGUAACUAGGCUUAAAAGAUUCGUCUCACGAUUCUUAACUAAACUGUGUAAUUAGUUUAUUUUUUAUCUACAUUUAAUGUUCCAUGCAUGUGUCCAAAAAUUCGAUGGGAUGGAUGAAAAAAAUUUGGGUAGGAAACUAAACAGGGCCUUACUCGAACAAGUAUCUCAAGGGAUCUCCUACAAUUAAUACUCUGCAUCUUCUGUUUUGAGAAGUCAACUAAUUUUAAAUUUGAAUUACUCGAACUAUAUCUAAAUGGAGCACCUUCAAUUAAUAGUAAACACUUCUCUUCGUCUAAAAAUAAAUAUACUUAUUGUAUUUUGAGAAGUCAACUAGUUUUAAAUUUGAUUAAAUAUAUAUUAAUAUUUAUGAUAUUAAAUAAGCAUCAUUGCUUAAAAUUUGAGAAGACAAUUUUGUAGUAGUGUCCUCGGUUAAAAUAUUAAUCACUUUGUAGGUGAGUUACUCGUAUGGAAUCUUAAGGGAUCUCCUCCAUUAAUACUCAUAUUUGAAAAGUCAACUAAUUUUAAAUUUGAGAGAAGUACAUAUUGUUUAUAUAUUAUUUUGAUAAGUUAACAAAUUUAAAUUUAAUAAUUCAAUAUAAAUAUAUAAAAAAAUGGAUGCACGUUGUUAUGUAUACUUAACGUCGUGCAAUAAAGGGUUGAGUAGCCACAAACAAUUAAUAUAAGACAAGUAGUGUUGUAAUGUUGAAUCUACAAUGAAUAGUAUUUAGCCAUGAUCAUUAGUUAUUGCAAUAUAUAAGGACCUAUUAUCAUAAGAGAUUAGGUUAAUAUAAGACAUCAGACAUUUAUUGUAGCUACUUUUCUAGUCUAGGUAGAAGUGAACAUUAACAUUAUCUGACAUUAUUUUAACAUUAUUUUGACUAGAAAAAACAAUUAGAAUCUUUUAAAAGGAGGUUCAUGGACACGCUUUUUAGUUCUUGUUACGGCAUAAAAUGUAUAUAUUGUGGAUUAUGUGCCUUUAUCUCAUUACAUAUAAGAUACUCUUAAUAAUAAUAAUAUUUUCAGGGAAAGAAGAUACUCUAUCCGUGAAUAAAGAUGCUUGUGCUAGCUCGUCGUCAUAUUCCAAAGGUGCAAGGGCCAAGCUGCGAUUUGGCACGCAGAGGUUCGGAGCGAGGAGUAGGCUCGGAGGCGUGGGGAUUGGAGUGCUUGAUUAGGCCCGGAUUACCACGGCCCAGCUGGUGCGGAGGGCCAAACAGCGCGCACGGGACCUGACCAACCGCGUGAAGGGAUGCGAUGGCGUGGCGGCCAGCGGCUGGAGCCCCUGCGACGCCCGCUGUUUGCCACGGGAUUCGUGAAAGACGGAGGUGAGCUGGUGACCUUUCACAGUGACGAUGUCUCGCACGUUUUGUGUUCCUCUGAGGCCACCUCGUCUGUUGCCUUCCCUGCGUGCGGGUUUUCUUUCCUGUUCUUUUUUCCUUUCUUUCUAUUUCGAUACAUCGUCCUUCAUGUUAUAAGCUGAUGUAAGCACUUUUAGACGGCUGAGGAUAGUAGCUUUGCUCAGAAAAGAUUGUUUGCAGAGUAGUGUUGUGAUUGUUGUUACAACAAGCACUCAGAAAACGCCUACAAUUGGUAACCACUACUUAAUGCAGUAGCUGCUGCAGCCACACCGUCGGGAAAAAAAAUCGCAGCCAAGCAUAACCGAAAUCAAACACAUCUCAUACCGUUUAAACUGCUUGUAAUAAUUGAUCAAUCAAAUGUGUUUAUAAGUAUACUGUACUAUAGAUUUUUUAUGUCAAUACAAAAAAAGAAAAAUAUUAUGGUACAGUAAAGGCACUCACAAUGCAAGACUCUGUCACAGAGUCGAAGACAAUUAAUUACAUAUUAUUUAUGAUAUUUUGCUGAUGUGGCAGUAUAUUUAUUGAAGAAAAAAGUAGAAAAAAAUAAAACUCCAAGUCUUAUUUAGACUCCAAGUUCAUAUUGUUCGAGGUAAUAAAUAACUUUAGACUUUACUCCCUCCGUCCUCAAAUACUGCUAUUUCUAGCAGAUUUCAGACAGAUUAGUGUGGCAAACAAAAGACCAUUUUACCCUCAAUUAAUUUGGGUUCCACCAUUUAAUCAUACACGUUAAGCCAUGGUUUUCUGGUUCCAAUGAGCUGCAUUUAAUGUCAACUAAACAGACUCAAACAAUUACCAUGCGCCAAAGUACUACUCCCUAGAAGAAAUUAAAUGGGUUGGUGGACCACGGAAGUUUCGAGGAGAAUUAAAUGGGUUGGUGGACUGAGUAUGCUAGUAGAAAUAGCAGUAUUUGUGGACAAAAUUUUCUCCUAGAAAUAGCAGUAUUUAGAGACAGAGGGAGUAUAAUAGAAUCUGCAUUGUGAGUGUCCUAAGGCCUUGUUUAUUUCCACCCCAAUACUUAAAAUUUUUUCAAGAUUCCCUGUCACAUUAAAUCUAUAGACACAUGCAUGAAGUAUUAAAUAUAGAUAAAAAUAAAAACUAACUGCACAGUUUGGUUGAAAUUUACGAGACAAAUCUUUUGAGCUUAGUUAGUUCAUAGUUGAAUAAUAAUUACCACAAACAAACGAAAGUGUUACGUAAAAUUUUUUUACUUUAAAAACUAAACACGGCCUAAAAAAUAAAUCGAAGAAAGGUUAGGAGACGCGGUCCAUUCAAAAAUUCACAAAAAGAUGUCCUUGCAAACACUAAAAAGGCCUAGUAGUACUCCGUAUGCCAGCCAGGACGCCUUGGGCCACAGCAGAGACCACAGGCAGCAUCGGGCGUAGAAGAGCGGGCAGGAUGCGGUGGCUGGACCGGGCGGUGAGGCCACCCCUAGGCUGCUCUGGGCCCCGCGUGUUUACACGGUACGGGGCAGGCAAGGCAGCGAGCGAUCCCGCUCCCGCCCGGUCCUCGCGGGGUCGGGGUCCCGGUCGGCGCCGCUCGCCGUCGCCGCCGCGCGUGAGGCGCACGAGCGCGGGGUGGUUGGCUUGGGUAGAAACGGAAACGGAAGACGGCAGCCCGCACGGCGUCGCUUUUCGGCCCGGGGUGAACCGAACCAUUCUCGGAAGAGCACGUUCUGACGACGCAGCGACACCGGUGACGCUGUACGUAGUACAUUUCUGUGGUGGGAUCUCCUCUCCUCUCCUCUCCUCUCGUGCCGUCGUUCGCGUUUAGUCCAGCGGCAACUGGUCUCCUUCCUUUUUACGGUUUUUCUUUGGCACGUCUUGUCUCGCCUCGCCUCUCUCUCGCUCGCGCGCGCGGUUCAUUUGGGUUGGUUGGUGGUGUCGGUAGUUUCUAUGGUGCUACUACUAGUGAUUCGUGAUGGUAACGGUUUGGCGUUGGUUUGCUUAUAUUAGCAAGUAGAAAUAUCCUGUCGCUCUCCGUUCAAAUUUAAUAGAGGACUCUCAUGUCACUCUUUACAAAGAGGCUUCUUUGGAACGUAGUGGGGGCAGUGAGAAGAUGCGAUAUGAGAGUUUAUUUGUCAAUUUACAGUCUUAUGGGUUGAGAAUGUCACGAGUUAUCAAAGAGCCAUUCCGAUGCAGUGAAGGUUAGAAAAAAGUGCUUGGUUUUUUAGAGGUAUAUUUAGUCUAUUUGAAGGAAUUUUCCGUGAGGGUUGAUCACAUGCAUUCCAUCAAAAUUCUUCCUCGUUGGGACUAACAUAGGAAUUUUCAUCAAUUUAGGCAGGUUCAUUGAAUCAACGCUUUGUUUCAACACCUCGAGCAAAAAUAAUCAUUUUAGCUAAAGUAGAUAUUCAUCCAGUCCGAUCCUCUUGUUGUUGAAAAUUACUUCUUUUAGUGCAUUUUAGCGGGGGCUCCUCGGGUCCGGCCGUUCGGACCGAAUCGUCCGUCCGGCGAUUUUCCCGCUAGGCUGUUUCCCGCCUAAAUUGUUUUCGCCUGUAUUGUUUCCCACCGAAAUCAGACGCGUCUAAAUUAUUAGGCUUUUAGUGUGGACUGUUUAGACUGUUUCUUUAUUGUUUUGAUGCAUGCGGCAACGUUGACUGUUCGUAACUGGCUAGAAAUUGAGGCAACAUAUAAAUUAUUAGGCUCUUCGUUUACUAGGCUUUGUAGCACUUUUAUUUGUAUUUGAUAAAAUAUUACCUAAUUAUGGACUAACUAGGCUUAAAAGAUUCGUCUCGCAAAUUACAUGUGAACUGUGUAAUUAAUUUUUAUUUUCAUCUAUAUUUAAUACUUAAUGCAUGUGUCUAAAGAUUUGAUAUGAUAGGGAAUAUGAAAAAUUUUGCAAUUUUUUGGGACUAAACAAGGCGCACUGGUAAAGUAGGUGAACAUGGAGACAUAUGACAGGCUGUCCCAUCGCAUGGGACCUACUCACCUAUAGAUACUAAUAAAUCUUAACAGAUUAAAAAAAGUUAUAACUUCUGAACCAAAUAUCAAAGUUAAAUUCUGAUUACACCAUCAAAUUCCUCGCAGCAAAUGCUUCAAAACAAGAUCUCACAUGAAUAUAUUUAAAUAAAAUUUAAUUAACGGCCAUUUAUCUUAUAAAGAUAGAACAUUUUCUUUUAUUGAGUAGGUAUUCUAGUUUUAGAUUCGUAAAAUUUAUAGUAUGAUGUACACAAAAAAAAUAACGUAAGUACAAAUAAUAACAUCCAGAGAAAACACAUAAGGAAAAAGAAUAAAAACAUGUAAUGGAGAAAAAUUAAAAGAACAUCACAUAGAUAUUUUUUAAAUAUCCUAAAAUAUACUACACAACAUCACUUAUGUAGUAAGUGAACAUUACUAAAUAUACCAUAGAACAUUAUUAAAUGUAUUAUAGAACAUCACAUAUAUAUUACGUGAACAUCGCUAAAUAAUAAUAGAACACCAUAUGUGUACUAAGUGAACAUCACAAAAAACGCCAUAGAACAUCACUAAAUAUAUUAUAGAACAUCUUAUAUAUUAUGUGAACAUCACUCAUCACUGAAUACAUUAUAGAACAUCGUAUAUAUUUUGUGAACAUCACUAAAUACACCAUAAAAUACAUUAUAGAACAUGACAUAUGUAUUACGUAAACAUCACUAAAAUAUAUCAUAGAACAUUACAAUAUAUUAUGUGAACAUCAUAAAAAAUAUCCUAAAACAUCAUAUGUAUACUACGAGGACAUCAUAUCUUUGAAACAUUAUAUGUAUAUCACGUGAACACAAAAGAAAACAUCACAGAACAUCGCAUGUAUAAUAUGUGAACAUAAAAAAACAUCACUACAUAAUCAUAAAAAACAAUGUAGAACAUCAUAAAAGAUAAUAUAAACAAAUAAAAGAAAAAAGAAAUGAAAGAAAGGUAAAAAUUAUAAAUAUUAUAAAAAAUGAAAGUAAUAAUAAACACAUAAAAAAUAAAAUAAAAAUAAAAAAUAAGUAAGGCACACAAAGGAAAAAGAAAAGAAAAGAAAUUAAGAAAAAACAUGAAUUGAAUAAAAAUAUAAUUAGAAAAGAAACAAAAGAAAAGAAAUAAAAAAUAUAAAAAUAGAACAUGACAUGUGCGAACAUAAAAAAAUAAUAAAAAAAUAAAAAGGUGAAACUAAAAAGUAAACAUAGCAUGUCAUGAAAAUAAAAUAAAAUAAAAAACUAAACACAAAAAACAAAACAAUUAACUAGAGUAAAUAGAACAAGGGGAAAUAAAAGAUAUAAAAAAACAUUAAGGAAAAACAAUAAAAAGAAACAUAAAGACAAAACAAAAUAAAACAAACAAAAUAUUUAACUAUAGUAAUACAAAAUAAAUUAAGAAAUAAAAACAUAAAUCAAAGAAAACAUAAUUACAAAAAGAAAACAAAAAGAAAUAAAUAAAAGAAAAUCAAAAGAAAAAAUAGAACAUCACAAGUACAACACGAACAUCAAGAAAAAUAAAAAUAAAAAUAAAAAUAAAGAAAACAUAAAUGAAAAAUAAAACAUGAAAAGAAACGAAAGAUAGAAAAAGAAAAAAAGAAUAUGAAACAAAAAAGAGAAACUAAUGUAUAGGAGAUAAGGAAAAAAAGAAACGAAAAAGAAAACAAAUGAACUAAAAAGAAAAUAUACCAAAAAAUAAAAAGAAACAAGAAAAUAAAAGUAAAUGCCAACUAGUGGAAGAGGAAAAGAAAAGAAAACUAAAAAGAAAAAUUAAGAAGGAAAGAAAAUAAAAGAAAAAGAAAAACAAAAGAAAAUAGAAAAGAAAACAUACCUCGACCCGUCGGAAGCUCGCGCGGGAGUCGUGAGCGGGAAUUGUCGGACGGUGUCUCCCAUCCGAAUAUUCAGACGGGAAGAUUUCCGCAUUUUAGCAGCGUAGAUGUGAUUGAUGUAAUUUUAUGGCAUCGAUGGGAUAUAUCAGUUUAGCGGUAGUAGACCUAGAUUGGAGAUUUCAAUAAUAGGAUUUUGAAAGAUAAAAAAAAGUACUCUAAAGAAGAAUCGAAUAUGAUAGAUUCCUUAAAUGUCAUUACGACAAACUCUGGUACCUAAUCUUCUGUUGCUAAAAUAAAUAUUCUUUCAAUCCCUUAAUUUAAAAAGUAAUCCUCUCGGGAUGUAGAAUAAUGUUUAUUCAACCUCCGGAGUUAAAACUAAUAUGUACAUGUUUGCAAGGCAAAAGUUGCAUGAGAAUUUCGUAAAAAUCAGUUCAUUUUCAUGAAAAAGUGCACUAAACAAUUAAACAUGGAGGAAGUCCACGUUCCAAAGGGACUUAAUAAUCCUUCAAGCGCAUCUUCUGUGGCACACAUAUGAUUAUUUUGGAUUGACUUCUAAUCUCUUAUAUGCAACGGCAAUGGAACCAAAGAGGAUUGAACCCUUAGCUCUAUGGCAUUGACGAGAUAUCGUUUUUAACGGUGACAGGUCUCACUUAGAGAGGAUUUUUAAAAUUCUACCCUAGGUAUACAUGUCGUCUCUUAAAGCAUGACUCUUCCAUGACAUAUAUGCUAAACACCUAUGUUGUGCAUUUGGUUGGUGCGAUAAAUGAGAAUGGUAUGGAGCUUCUCUAUUCUUAAGGCUAUUUGAUUCAAGGGUAUUUUUUUGUUUACAGAGUAGAAGGAUGAAGCGGUUGGUUAUUUCUUGAGAUUUUAUUAUGAGCUCACUCCAUAAAAAUUGUGCUCGUCUCAAUAGAACGACACUCAUUCCAUCUUCCUACUGGAUACACGUCUUGAAGCGAGCGGGUACCGAGAACGGUAAGCGGCGACGACAGUAUGUGGCCUAAGGCUGGUGAGCACGUAGACCGAGUAAGUGAAUCCGAUGGUGGAGAUGCAUGUGGCCUAGGGUCAACGAGCACACAUCCCAUGUGAACGAAUCCGUCAACGGUGGCGCGUGGCCUGAGGAUGGGCAGAGAUGAAGGCGCUAACAUAGCGGCGACAGUGUCAUGGACGUGAGCAGGAGAAAGAAGCACAAGUUGGUAUGGCAUAUGGGCUCCACAGCAAACGAGGGUACCUAAUCUAGCAUCUUAUUCAUUUCAUUCCUCCAACCAAGUGCAAGAACAUAAGGCCUUUUUUAGUUUCCAAUUUUUUUUAAAAAAAUUUCUCGUCACAUCGAAUUGUUGAACGCAUACACGAAAUAUUAAAUAUAAAUAAAAAAUAACUAAUUUUAUAAUUACCUAUAAUUUACGAUACGAAUCUUUUGAAUCUAGUUAAUUCAUAGUUAGACAAUAAUUAUCAAAUACAAACGUAACCGAACCUAAAAUUUUUCACAAACCGCUCCAUCCUUCCAACCAAAUACUAGAAUAAGCUCUCAUCCCCAGAAAAUCAUUCCAUUCUACCAUGCUCUUCAACCAAAUACACACUACCCAAAGUUAAACCUUCUCACUUUAGCGUAGCCGCCCACAUACUUAGGCCUUGUUUAGCUCAAACAUUUUCACUUUAGAGUAGCGCCCACAUACUUUAGGCCUUGUUUAGCUCAAGAUUUUUUUGAGUUUGGUUAUUGUAGCAAUUCUAUUUAUAUUUAAUAAUUAUUGUCCAACCAUGGAUUAACUUGACUCAAAGGAUUCGUCUUGCAAAAUAAUUUUGUUUAAAUAUUAUCUAACUAUAGAUUAACUAAACUUAAAAAAAUUCAUCUCGUAAAUUAUAAAUAAAUUAUGCAAAUUAUUGCCACAAGAUUCGAUGUGACCUGAAAUCUUAUACUGCACGGUCAAGCGUCCACACAUCCCUACCGUCAUUUGCCCUUGCACAUGUGCGUGCGAGCUUGCAGGAGUAAGUGCCAUCGUGACACUGGCCUAAAUUGCGAGCGUGCGUCGUAACACUGGUCUAAAUGUGAGAGAAUCUGGAACAAGCACCAGAAAUCACAGCGUUAUCAUGAGCACUCAAGCCGUCAAGCGGUUGGAAGCAGGACAAAAACAUGUAGCCAACGUAAAUUAUCAUCUCCCCUAAAUUAACCACCCAUAUAAACGAUGGGUAAUAAGUUCGGUCGCAAUCAACAACCCAAACAAUCGCACGAACAUAACAAUUUCCAUACGGCGGCAGCAGAAGCAUGCGGAUGACAAAUUCCCAUGGAGCUGCAACCAACGCGCUCACAAUGUUCAGCAGGCCCGGCGCAGCCUGUCCACGACGCGCCGUCUAGCCUUGCUGCAUGGUGGCGCCGUCGCCGUGGCGCUCCAUGACCCGGCGCAUGGCCAGCGCCGCCGCCUCGCUGGCACGCAGCGUGCCACUGGCCAUAAUGGCCGCGAACUCCCUCAUCACCUCCUCCUGCACCUUCCCCCUAGCGCUCCCGAGCGGGUCAGCGGCAGGAGCAGGCGCUGGAGCAGAAGAGGGAGCUUCCUUCGAAGCCUUCUCCGCCGGCGCUGGCGCCGGCGCUUCUCGCUUGGCAGGAGCCGCAGCGGGAGCGGGCGCGGGCGCAGAGACGGAUGCGGGCGUGGGCACGAACUGCGUGGCCUGCGGCGCGGUGUUGGCCCGGAGCGUGGACUCGAGGUUCUGGAUCAUGGGCAUGAUGAGCGGGCCCAUGGGGCUGGACAUGACCUCAGCGGGGAGGUUGAGGAUGUAGUCGGGCACGCCGGCGCCGGUGCCGACGAGGAACUGCGCCACCUCGUGGCUGAAGUUGUUGCAGUUGUGGGUGAGGAGGCGGUACGUCUCGGCAGUGUACCGGGGCGCGAUGUCACGGAGGUAGUCCUCGAACACCUCGCGCGGGAUGUGCGUGACGCCCAGCUCCACCGUCCGCAGCGGCCGCCCGUACGGCGUCGUCCCGGCGGGCGACGACUGGAUCCCGCCGCCGAAGUAGUACUCGUUCCCGUACACCACCACGCCCGUGUGCCUGCCAGGUCCGAUUUGGUUUUGGUUAGGCGACGGCCGGCGCGAGGUGGAUCAGCUCAGAUCCGGGGAGGGGCUGAGGCUUACUCACCAGAUGGCCUCGAUGGGCUUGCCGAGGAAGGAGGUGGACAGCUGCCGCGCGAGGCCGUUGCUGAGGUCGUACACGUUCAGCGUCACCUUGUACCCCUCCUGCCGUGCGGCACCACCGCCAUUAACGAACGCAGCGUCAGAUCUAUCUACACUUCCUCCUCAAUAAAUCCAUGCAUCGGUCGAGCAAUUGAAAGCGUGGGGGCCCUUACCUCCGCCAUUAGUCGAUUCUCCGUGCAGAUGGGAUUGGAAUUUGAUGGAGGUCGCGAAUUCGCAGGGAGGACGAGGAAGAAGAGGAGAGAAAAUGCCUCGGAGAGUGAGUGGUCAAUACACGCAGCUACUCCUCCAAAACGCGUGGAUCUGGGCGAAGACGAGCGGGGGUUGGGGUUGGGGUUGGCUCGAUAAAUAAAGCGACGCGGUUAGGUUAGUUUAAUGGCGGAAGCUUCUGGAGCCGUCUGGUCCAAAUUAGAACGCGCGGGGGUAGGGGAAGCGAAGGAAAGGGAAGGGGAUUCGUUUCGCUUUCGCCGCUUGGGUUUCUUCCACCUUCCAGGAAGCUCGCGAGGCCGAGCUGCCGAGGGCCGAGUCCGAGGCGACUGGCGAGGGAGUUUGGGAGGCCUACGGCCUGCGGGGUUCUGGCGGCCGUCUGAUAGGGAUCGGGUGGCCGGAUGGGGACGGCCAGGGGCAGCGGGAGCUUUCGCGUUGGAUUCCAAGCGUGUGACGAGAUUCCAAGCGGGGGGAUCAUCUGGAACGCAGAGUCCUCCAAUCCAGCUGCUAGAUUUGUGCUCGUGUUUACGACUGCCAUGACGUGAUGCGUGACGCGCCUCAUCUAACUAUAUUCAAUUAUUCAUAUUAAACUUAUUUAGAGACAGGCCUGAUUGCUCGGCUGAAAGGUUAUGGCUUAAAAUAUUGUUGGCUAAUUUACUAUUGAAUGACUGGUAGAUUGAGCAGAUAAGUUCAAGUGAAUAUGCUCUCCAUCACAAUUAAGAGAAACGUGUUUGUCAAACUACCUCAACUUUGAUCAAAUUUAUAGUAAAUAGUAUUAGUAUUUAUGUCUUUAAAUAAAUUUAUUAUAAAAAUAUAUUCUAUAACUAAUUUAACGGUACUUACUUUGUCUCAAGAGUAUUAGUACCUUUUAAAAUAAUUUUAGUCAAAGUUGAUACUAUUUGACUUCUCGAUAUGUGAGAAUUACAUUCUUUUGUGGACGGAAGAAGUAAUUGCUACUACUCUUUUUAUAUAUAAAUCUAGUUAUUAAACCUAGAAAAGUUUAUCCAAUACGAAUCCUAUAUCAACUUUUUUUUUAAUAAGAUAGAGGAAGUACAAUUCAACUACUACUACUAUAUUUAUUAGAACAAGUCAACUAUAGAAAUAGUAUUUAUAUUUAUAUAUCACUAUAUAGAUAUAGUAUAAAAAUAUAUUCUACAUUUACUCCCUUCCUAAAAAACAAUGUAUAUAUUGGUUUUUGACUAGUCAACUACUUUUAAAAUUUAACUAAAAAUAUAAAAACAUAAUAUUUAUGACAUAUGCUAAGUAAAUAUAUUUAUAGAAAAUAUUGAUAUUAUUUUCUAUAUACCUAGUCAUAAUUUGUUUGACUAAUCAAGAAGCGAGAUGUCCAUUCUUUUGACGAAGGAAGUACUUGGUAUCACAAAAGUUAACUUUUUUCUAUUGAUUUGAUCUAAAAAUUAUUUGAUUUCAAAGAAAAGAAUUGCAUUCUUUUUAAGACGGAAGAGUAGAAUUGUUGUGCACUCCUGCAUGUCUCGCUCAGUUCUUCGACUCCACAUUGUGAUGCACGCAGCAUCUACCCCUAGUAUGAAGAAGACGUUGCACCAGUAGAUUUGAGCAAACAAAAUUGCCACUACAGAAUAGUUCAUGCCAUGCGUUCACAACUUCACAUAACCAUGGCUUUGCAUUGCACUGGCACAUCAGCACAUGAAAGGUGCUAUUUCUUCAGACCAAACAGCAUCAUGGAACAAUCUUACAAUUUGAGGCCCCCUUCGGAGGCACAAAAUAUAUAAGAAUUUUAUGAAACCAAUUCAAUUUCAUAGGAAAACCACAUGAUUCAUGAAAAAUCCCUUGUUCCACAGGAGCCCUAAACCUAGCGGAGAUGAGAAUGAUGUAUCUAAAAAACUUCGCUACGUACAAUAUUCAGGUAUACCCCACAUGCCACCGCGGAUCCAUAACAAGACCCACUGUAUUCAAGAACUUUGAUACUAUCAAACAAAGGCAAUGCGCUCAUUCAUUACACCAAUGAACAGCAACUAGUAUUGACAGCAAGCAUUCAUUUUUCUCAAGGACACGUUACAAUCAAGGUGGUUAAUUGGGAGUCCUAAAGAAUUUUAACACUGCCAAUCUAUAGAGUACCUUUCUAGCAAGAUAAGUCAAUUUGUGACAGCUUGAUUUACAAACUCAUGCCUACAAUAUACAAUUAUACAUCACUGUGAUCUCAUGGCACCUUCAGGGCACCGAAGGUACCAGUGCUACAAAUGGCUCCUACAUGGCUGAAAACAUGAGCAAAACUAUACACUCCUGGGAAUUUUGACCUCCAUCUUCAACCAAAAUUAGUCAUGGGACCGUGUAGUUUCAGCUUUGCAUAUGUCUACUUCAAAGAUUUAAGUGUACCGAAAUGGUGGGAAGAGUAAGAGUUGACCUGUUUUCACUGGCCUCCAAUUGAUCCUGUAUCUACCUUGCUGACUAAUUUCAUCAGCAAGUCAAAAUGGGAAAUCAAAUAUCAUUCCCAAACGAGCAACAAACCACUAUAUUAUUCAGCCCACAGCAUCUGCAGGAUGUCAAUAGAAUGUCAGGUGCAGUUUUCAUCAAUAAGGGAAAAAAUGGAAUAACAGUAAUGCAACAUACUUCAGAGAUACUGUUGAAGAAGGUUGGCAGAUGUAUUUUUCAGUCUGCAGCUCAUUCCCAAAUGGACAUCGCCAAAUACAUACCUGGAUUUACAAUCACUAAAUAGGGGGGCUUUGUUGCUGAAACUGAAAAAGGAAAGACUGGAAAACUGCGUGCAGACCUGUAUUCACAGUGUUCUGGAAAGCCACAUCGAGCCUUUCCAUAGUCCCAGUGGCAGUCGUCGUUCCUUAGCGGACCUCGGAAAGCUGUUUAUACACUCCUGUUAGUAACUUGAAAAGCCAUGAGUCAAACCAGGUAACGACAUUGCUCUUUGGGCUGUUCAAAUUGAAGCAUACCUUUCGUCACGAACUUUGAUUUUGAAUCAGGAUGCAUGUCGUGCCACAUUUCAAGCCAUAACUCACGCAUUAGUACAGGCGUCCUAACAAUAUUCCUGUGAUUUGCUGUUAAAUAACUUAUAUAUUAGUCUGUUCAAUAGAUGUCAAAAGAAAGUUAUGCGGCGAAUAAAGGUAGCACCACACACAAGAACAAGAUAUUCCUUAGUGCAAGUAAAACAAAGAUAUGCAUCAUGUGCUAAAAGGCAAAAGCACAAACUGAGGGGCUCCCUUGCAGCCUUGCAAUGCAGAACGACAGGUAUAAGUAAAAGUGCUACAGCUAAGCUAUACAAAAUGGUAUAAAAGAAAAAAAAUCUAGAUUCACACCUUUAUCAAGCUCCCAAACUGCUGUUCUCCAUCCCGGAAGACUUUCAGCAUCUUCAUAGUAGGUUAUGUACUUCACAUGCGGAGCCCUCGUCAUGUUUGGUAGUAUGUCCUGGCCAUGAUGGUGAUCGAUAUUCAUGGCUGUUUGCAGAUCAGAUCCAUCAUGUUCUGCCUUCAAGAGUAGAAGAGGAUAAUUAGGGAGGGUGGCUUAGUGUUGCGAUAUACUGCAAGAAACAGUCAAUAACACUUCAAUUAACCAAAACAUAGUAUACUAAUAUAGCCAGGUCACAAGUUCACCAUGGUGAGUCGCACCAAUAAGCAUAAAACAGAAUACCUGUGGAGCCCUCGUUAUGUUCACUUUUGCUCCAAGCCAAUUCUUGCACCAUGAGAGGGAGUUGUAGGAUACCUGCCAUGAAAUAGCUAUUCAGUUGCUUAAAUAAACUGGUUUAGCUUGAUACAAACUAAGAAUUUUAUUUGGUAAUACAUACUGUUCCAUCACCACUGGAGUUGUUAGGCUUUCCCGAAACAGAAUUACCUGAUCUGGUAAGAAUAUGUUACAAUUAUAACAAAAAGGAAAUGUAUAGAAGAACCGAGAGAACUAAUAAAGAUAAAUGUAUAGAAGAACUGAGGAACCACUAGGACAUUCUACACAAAACAGGUUGCACUUACAUAAUUACUCUCAGCAAAUUUGUCACUGUGUCAACCAUUAGAAUGGGUACGUGACUAAAAUGAGUACUAAAGACUUCUCAAAUCAAGUUAUACGAUACCUGCCUUGAAAGUAGGGAACCUUCAAACUCAUAAAUAAUAUCAGUUAUUAUCCAGUUGUCUGGAUAUGGUUUGCCACUUGGUGCAAAGUAAUAUCCUACCUGCUUGAUGAAGAAAGAAUCUAUUUUGAAACAACAUAAAGUGGGACAGUUCACUAUGAAAUAAACAUCACCAACCAUACCUCAGUCUUUGAAUCAAUCCCGUAAAUGCAAAAUACAUUCUUUAUUGGGGGUCUCUCCCAGGGUGUUAGAGGGUUCAGAACUGGAUCACCCUGAUAAUACCUGAGAUCAACUCAGACCAAAAUACAAGGCCUUAGACUCAGUCACUCUUACUUACCACCUAAUGAUUAAAAUACAAGGUCUAAUUAAUAAAUGCCAAAUAUCAUAUCAUAAGCAUACUAAAGCCUUAAACUUUGUAUUUUGUUUGAAAGAACAGAUGCAGGGAAUACAUUGUAGGAGCAAGUUGGACGCAUGCGCUUUUGAUCCCUUGCCUGUAGCAAUUUUGUAUAUGUGGCGUUUAGGAUUGUUUUCCUUAACCGCCUACCUAUAUAUGGUCACUUAGGAUUUUUUAUCGAACACACAAGAGAGCUGAAGAAAAAACAGGGUAAGAGCCCAUAUAACACACCCACACACAAGCCUUUGGAUUACAUACUCACCUUUAAUUUCAACAAGCACAGACCUCGACCCAAAGACCUAAGAAACCCCUGAUGUAGUGGACACGAGGUAAGAAAUACUAUGGGCACUGGCCAUACCCCAAAGGUGAAUUUCCUCCCUAGUGAGCAGGAGUCCUUCAGCAAGGUUGGGAAGCAUUCCAUAAAAAACGCAGCAGUUCCUAUGUUUCCAAAUGGACCAAGCCCCCAAGAUGACAAGGGAAUUCAGCCCUUUUCUAACCUCUCCAUCCACUUUAUUGCCUAUCCUUGUCCACCAAUCAUCGAAUAUGGUUACUCAGGAUUACUUCAUAGGUGGACAAAUUCCCUGUGAUCUGUUGUGAUUAUUUGUAAUCAUUGACUAAUCCCUUAGGAAUUACAUAAACAUAGCAUUCUGUGGCCUGUUCAGCCAAGUGCAGUAUCACUGCUCCUCCCUGUCAACUCUUGGUGUUGCCUAACCUUGACUAGCAAGACAGGGGGAGGAUACAUGCUCGGUUCUCUUGCUAAAAUUCCUGCUGGACAAGCUGAGCGGCCUUGCUUUUGAGGUACAACAAAGUUGGCUUCCCUCCUCAAGCAAAGACUUUCUUGCAAAUUAACAAGGGUAGUAAAAGGAAACAAGCAAGUUCAAAAAUGUAGACUUACUUCUCAAGCUGAUAAACAAGUGCCUUGCUCUGAGGGUCAUAAUCCUCUAUUGUUCUGAACAAAGUACCAUCUGACACUUCUCUGGCAGAAAAUGACAGAAGAGUUGGCUUUCCACACUCCAUACUGGAUGUUAUGUUCUCGGUUAUAUCCGUGAUGGAUGGGUAUGCCCCCAUACCUGUGAUGAAAAAGAGGAAAUGGAAAAACAUUUCAACCUGCUUAGUGGAACAGAAAUUCUUAAAUGUCACAUCAACAAAGAAAGCGAUUUUCGCAAAGAACCUCGAACUGAAGGAACCUCAAUAUUAACAAGGUCUGUGGGCCAUCCAGCGUAGUCUGAAAUAUAUUCGGCUUCAUCACAUUGUUGUCUGUGAGGACAACCUGCCUUUCCCUCAAAAAAAUGCUUCCAGUAGAUAUUAUCAGCUUUGCAGUGUUUUGAGAAUGGCAUAAGCCAUAGAGAAGAACCAAAUGCAUUAAACAUCAAUCGUGCUGUGCCCUGAAAACGUAAUUAUAGAUACGAAAUGUUAGAAACUAAUAAGAUGCAUAAAUGCAACAAGACUUACGGCAAGCUAUUUGGACAGUUGUGACAGUUCAAAGUUUGGACACAAUUGGACUUUUUAAUGGUAGUAAUAAAACAUAAAAUGACAUACUAUAUUCAGCGAAACAUUAAAUGGAAGGAUGAAACACAAUAAAUACUACCAUAACUCACAUGAACAUCUAGGAGCAUACUUCAUGACUACGAACCGCAGAUGCAGUGCAGACGAACAAGAAUAAAAUAUUACCAUGAUAUUUAGUGCAUGGGCCAGUAAAAAGAACUAUUUAAAGUUGAAAGUUGUGUAUACAAAAAGUCAAGAAUAAACCUAUGGGGCAUUGGGCAUCAAAAUUGUCAACUGCAAACUAUAAAGUCAAUACUAACUAUGUUGCAGGAAAAAAAUCUGAUAACAGAACAGGGCAUUCAAAUAUUCAAUGAUGACGGAUUAAUAAAUUAUUACAAUAAGAUGAAACUAAGAUUUAUAGAGGAUGACUGACCUCACUGACUGGAAGACCAAAAGUUGUUCCAGAAAGAGCACCUCUAACUGCUUCAGUAGAUCCAAGAAGAGGAGCGCCUAAAGCACAGAAAACUCAAAAAAUUGAGGAUAAGUGGAUAAAAUAAAUAUGGUAAUAAUAAAGUAGUAUUCAUUCUAGUUGACAUACCAACUGCAAAGUAUGCAUGUAUAUGUUCAUCAAGCCACUGGAUAUAGUGCUUGGGAGCAAUUUCCAGUUUCAACCAUUCCAAAAAGUAGCGAAACACAUUAUUUCCCAUCGAAUGAGCAAAUACCAAAGAUGGCCCUCCUCGGAGUUUCAAAGCAAUUUCAAAAGUUAACCUGCAUCAACAAGGAUGUAUGAGCAUCACAUACUACAUUCUCUCCUCAUGCAACAAUGAAUUGCCCUUACACCAUACAUCUAUGCUCAGAAUCUCAGCAUGAUUUGUUUGCCAUUGUUUUGGAAAAUCGUAUUUGCUUGAAUAAAACUAACCACAAGAUAUGACAAAACUAAAAUUCACAGGCCAAAGCAUAUCGUUUAGCAAUUGGUCACCUGCAGGCUGCAAACGCAUGAAAUGCAACACACCAUGUUUUACUUGUAACACUAACAAUUAUUCCAGAGAUUGGAUUGCCAACUUUUAAAUUGACGAAGCCAACAAAGACAGUAUCAUAUCACAUAUUCAGUUCAGAAGUUAUGGCAAUGCUGAUAUAAGAAAUGCAAGGUAACUAAAACAAUAUAAAUGACUGUAAUCUAGGUAUCUACUUUGGAAACACCAAAAGAUCUAGACCCUAUCAGCUGCAUGGAAUUUGGUUGCUUCAUAACAAGUUGAGGUAAGUGUUACAAACUUUAAUUUGUGAAAAUACAGAUCUCGCUCCUCAAGCAUUGAUGGGGGCAGUCUCCAAUCAUAUGGAACAGCAAUAAUUGCAUUAGCUUCAAUGCCAAACUCUACACACCAUUUGACCCAUUCUUUCCAUACUGAAGAGAGAGGACCUGAAACCUUGCCCAAUAAAAUGAUGUCAGUGUAAGGUGUUUUUCCCUUCCCUUUCUCUUCAUGAAUGAAUGAGAUGGGUGGCUUUAUAAUGCACUAACAAAUAUGAGUACUGAAUGCACCCUGUCUAACAGGACUAUUCCUGAAGUGUAAAACACAAUGCCAAUGUCAAAGCAAAUAUGGGGAGUUGCCAUUUGCAAAUUGAUGAACAUAGAUUAUUUUGAAAGAAAGAAACAUGUGAAUGAGCUACAGAUAACCGUACUUGCACAAAUUAUUCCACAUUCUUCAGCUCGCACAUGAACAAAGAACAAACAUGAUUCUUUCUUGAUAAUACAUUGUUGUACCACCUAUGGCAUUAGUCUGGUGAUCUCGUGUAAAAAAACACAUUCUUUUUGUUAUCGUUUCAGCCACUUCAGCUCAAAACUUGCAAAAAUGUUGUCUAGAAUGAACUUCUUUUCACUCAGCAUUAAGUAACCUGACUUAUGAUAUAAGCUACAAAUUAUCAUGUAACAGAUAUGUAACUCAUGGCUAGAACUUGCGAGGUCAGUGCUAAGAAAAGAGAGUAAGCCAUAAGUUUACCUGUAAUAUAACCAGGGUCCAACUCUGUAAUUGCAGAAAGACCACUAUCAGGCCUUGACUUGCAUUCCGGAUGGUCUGUCUGAUUAUAGGGUUCAAGCAGCAUGCAUUUAAGCCAGCAAUUCACUGCAGAGAAAAGCUGCAGCAAACUGGACGUAUGAAAACCAGUAGAUCUGGAUACUUAAGCAUAGAAAUGGAGCAAAUUUAGCCUCUAUAGGCCGCACAUGUUUUCCAUUUUAGAUAAUGCAAUCGUUGCUAAGCCUUACUCUGGCCUAGUUUGGGACGAACAAGGCAUUGUCAUGUGAUGACAAACACAUGGCUAUUCAUGGAGGCAUACUGGCAUUACAGACAGUCAAGCAGUGAAUUGUUCCUAGCAAAAACUGACCAAAGCUGCUCAAGUAGUUGGUGGCUUUGCACCUACUGGAGUACCCGACAAACCAAAGGUGUUCUAAAGUUAGUUGUUUCUGUUGGGUAUCCCUUUUCAUGGCACUCACAUCCAGAGAUAAGAUACUCCGGUCCAGUACAAGUUUAUCCCAACAAAAACUGCUCCAGUCCCCAAAUCUAUUAAUAGAUAGAUGAUUCACUAAAAAGGGAAAAAGAAGUAUGGAGACCUGACAAUUAUGUAUGCUGCUCACAUCCCUAAAGCGUAUGAGAGCAUAUAUAAUCUAUGCGAAGCUAACAAACAGCUAAAGCAAAACCGAUUAAGAGAGCCAAAUGGCCACGCUACUAAUCCUGGAACGACAGCAGUAACGAGCAGCACUAGCAGAGCAGUAAUCAGAAAUAUCAUAUCACUACUAGAUGGGCAGGCGAGGCGAGGCGAGGUGAUGCAGCUCAGUGGUUUGGAACCUUGGCGGUGUCGAGCCAGACGGAAUCAAGGGGGUUGAAGUCGAAGGGCGAGUAGGGGCAGUCGAGGACCGACCACGCGCGCAGCUGCGUGGACGCGAACCCCGGGAUGAUGAUCCCCGAGAGCUUCCGGUAAUCGAACUCCGCGCCGCCGUCGGCCCCGGCCGCCAGCGCCACCGUCGCCAGCAGCGCAGCCGCGACGGCGAGGUCGCCGCGUCGGCGCUGCCGCGACGGCAUCACGAGCCGGGUCGAUUCGUUCGCUGCUCCGGACCGGUCCCUCCCUCGGGAUGGCUCGCGUCGCGUCCGCGCACGGGGAUGUGGAGUGGAAAAGGCGAGGCCGAGGCGGGGCGAUCUGGGCCGUUCGUUCUGUCGGAAGACAGACAGUUGGGGGGAUCUCUCUAUCGGCUUCGCUGUUCGCUCACGCCGUGGGGCCCCAACUCCGGGGAGCGUGUCGAAUUUGGUUGGAGACGUGGUGGUCAUCUGUGCCGUCCGCUCUCGAAGGAUGGCCGUGAUCGUCGUCUUCCCCAGGCGGAAGGGACGGAGGAUGGUCAAAGCUACCACCAGUACCAGCUAGGGGGACGAGAACUGGCAGUUCGGGCAAGCCACGUGCGCGGUGUGUGUCCGUCCCGCCCGUGCGCUCUGAAUCUGGGAGCGCUCCGUUGCGAACCAACGGUUUGGAUUUUACCAGGGCCGGCAGGUAAGGGCUCAGUCACAGACAAGUCAGUCGUUGCCGCCUUGCCGGGCCUGGCCCAACUGUAAUUGGGCCGGCCGUGAACCGGAAUUCACCCUGGUAUGGACCAUGGCGUCAAAGAUGAAAUUUUCAUUUCAAUCGUUUUUUUUUUGCCUUCUUCCUUGAAAAAAAAGGCAUUUUCAAUCGUCUGCCAGAGUAUUUUUUUUUCUUCAUCAUAAUAAUAGGAAUAGGAAUGUUACGCAUUUCCAGCAGAAGAAAGCAACACAGAACAACCACGCACGCAUUAUGCCACCAGUAGUAGAUGAGCGUCACAGACAAGCCAAGCCAUGCACACGAGAAUCGUAGUCCGUCCACCCAAUUCAAUAUUCCUUGAUGGUCACUUGCUGGCGCCACCCGCGGUGUGAUGGCGGUCGUAGGGGCGGAAGCCGUGCGCGAGCGCGGCGCGCCAUGCCUUGUCGACGCCGGUGACCCUGGCGCCGCACUCGUGGUCGUCCCAGCCCUGGAGCGCGUGCACGAUGCCCGCCGCGCGCCACGCGCUCAUCACCCUCCGCGGCAGCCAGUUCUGCAAUGUGCAUGCGACAGACAACCCGUCAGCGCAUUCGCGAUCAGGCAGGCAAAAGACGAUGUGUCACGUACAGUACCUCGCAGGCGUGGAGGUUCUCGAAGGCGUCCGGGACAACCAGCGCCGGCGUGCUGUGGUAGACGCAGUCGCCGCGGACGGCGUCGGGAGGGAACUGCGAGUAGGGCACGAAGUGGACGCCGCCCUGCGCCCUCCUCUGCUCCUCGUCCGUCAGCUUGUCGCCGACGAGCCAGACCUUGCUGCUGCUGCUGCGGCUGCGGCUCCAGUCAGAAAGGAGAAGAAGAUGCUUGUGCGUCUCUGGGCGCACCUCCUGCUUCAGAGACUCGUACAGGUCCCUGUCCACCAUCUGAACCUGCAAGCGUCAUUUACACCAAAAAUUAAUUAGAGGGUUCUCGUUCAUAAACAAAUCCGACAGCAGGAUAAUCCAACAACGUUUGUGAUGGCAGCAGUGUUAACACAAUGCAUGGCAACAACAGGAGGCAGGUAUGUAGUACCUGAAUCCCGCGUUCGCAGAGCGCCGACGCCAGCACGGCCGCCAUCUUGGCGCCGGCGUCUCCCAGGAGGAGCACGUCGGCGGUGCCCCGAGGGAUCAUGUGCAGCACGGCGGCGGCGGCCAGGCUGGUGCCGUCGACGAUCUUGGUCCUCAGGUCAGGUUUCCUGAUGACGUACAGCUCGCCGUUCUUGUUCAGCUCGCUUCCCUGCAGGCAAGCUGGCGCUGUCAGAGCCCUUCAUCACUCAUCUUCUCCCCUUUUUUUUGUCUUUUAUUUACAGCGCGGUGAAAACUUGACUCGAAGCUACGACGGUAGCGGUGAAAAAUUUUCAAUUCGAAUUCAGAGGAGUGGUUGGCAUGGGUUCAAUGCAGCCUGCCUGGCACGCUGCGAUUUUUUAAUACACACACAGCCUGACCCCUGCUGCGACGUGCAGACAUUACUACUGGCAGCACGCACGGGGAGGCAUUGCAUGCAAAAAGUCUCCGGCGGUGCACAUGCACAUGCACGGCACGGGGACGGGGGUGCCGGAGACGCACGGGGAGACCGGAGAGGAGUUUGGUCGACUACCAAGAAACAAAAAUUGAAGGAGCUGCAGGACGACAGAACAGUGAAGAUGGGCGGGUGGUGGACCUGGUUCAGUAGACCCAGCGUGAGUACUCUGGCGCCACUUGCCUCCGCGUCUGCCACCGCCUUCUCCACCAGCCGCCCCACUGCAUGCAAACCUUGCUUCGACUCAUACUGCAUUGCAUCGCAUUGCAUUGCAUCGCAUUGCAUCCAAAUAAAAAAAAUGUUCAACCCUCAAAAUUCAAGAAGAACACUAUAAAUCAUUUUCUAAAUAAAUCUCACACACACACACACACGUAGUACCUGAGAGGUGUAUGUUGGCACGACCCACGUCUCGAGGUUGAGCUUGUGGAGCCUGUUGGCCUCAGACCUGAAGGCGGUGGCGGUCCGGCCAAGGAGCGCGGCCACCGGGCGCGCGGCAGCCGCCAGGACGCUGGUGCAGCCGCGGGUCGAAGACGCGAGCGGCGCCGGCGCGGCGGCGAGGGAGGCGAAGCCGAGGCGGAGGCGGAGGAGGGACGCCGGCGUGGUGAGGUGCGUGAGGUGGACGACGUCGGGCGCCUCCUCCUGCUCCUCGUUCCGGCAUUGCAUGAGCUUGCGCUCGUACAGGUCGUCGCUGGACUUGUCGGCGGUGCCGUAGAGGUGGUCGUAGAGCGGCAUGAAGAGCGAGUAGUUUGUGCGGAACUGCGUGUGGUGCAGCGAGUGGAACGACGGCGUGUACACCAGGUAUUUGAGCGGAGGGAAGACGUCGAAGAGCAGCUUGGGCACGACCUCGAAGUUGCAGUGGCCGAGGUAGUUCAUGAAGUCGAUGUAGAUGAGGUAGCCGUUUGCUACAGCCACGGAGGCAGUGCCGGUGCCCACCAUGGUGAGCAGCGGGAUGGCGAACAGGGUGAAGUACACCAACUCCUCCGCGAACGGGUGGAUCACCGCUGCAUACAGAUAUGCAUGCAUGCAAAAAAAAAAAUCUCAUUUUAUAUGUACAUGGAUGCAGCUAGCUAGCAAAGAUGCAUGCGUACAUGUGAUGGGCUCGGUGACGAUGGAGGCGUGGUGGUGCGAGUGGUAGCGGGAGUAGAGGUAGUGGUGGUGGAGGGCGCGGUGGAGCCAGUAGUAGAGGAACUCCACGGGGCCGGCGUGGAGGAGGGAGACCAUUACCAGACCCUUGGAGUUCCACCACGGCAAAGACUGCG
Molecule: long non-coding RNA, 52962 nt
Filed under: Sorghum bicolor (sorghum)
Lineage: Eukaryota; Viridiplantae; Streptophyta; Magnoliopsida; Poales; Poaceae
Description: long non-coding RNA (SBIC_LNC007484)
Source: RNAcentral